Molecule: long non-coding RNA, 47320 nt
Filed under: Triticum aestivum (bread wheat)
Lineage: Eukaryota; Viridiplantae; Streptophyta; Magnoliopsida; Poales; Poaceae
Description: long non-coding RNA (TAES_LNC004747)
Rfam family: tRNA (bases 43946-44029)
Source: RNAcentral
UUUUUUUAUCUUUUUUUUAAACGUUCAGGGGGCUGGGGGGCCCCUGUCAUAGGCCCCAGGGGCCUUGGCGGGUUUGGUCGCUAGCGGGUGCGGGCAACGGGCGCACGCCCAGGUGCAAGCGGACCCGGGAGGGCACCGGAACAGGGGAGGCCGGUGGCCACGGCGUGGCCAUGGCCGGAGCGGGGAGAGGCCGCGGUGGUGCGCGGGCGGCCGCCGGAGGUGGCGUAGAGGGGCGAGGCCACAGUGGCGACGGGGCGCUGCAGCCCGACUGGUCCCUGGCGCCGGCUGGGGCGGAGGAAGGCGUCGGCCAGGGCAACGUACAGAGGAGGCGCGGCCGUGGCCGCGAACGGGCGAUGACGGGAGGGCGCAGGCCGGUGCGAGGACGCGCACGAGCGCGGCCAGGGCGCGGCCCGGCCGCGGUGUCCGAAUGGGCAAGGGAGUGCCGGGGGCGCGCGCACGAUCGAGUGGGCUCGGCCGGGGCGAGGGUGCGCGGUGUUCGCGGCGACGGUGACCAGUGUGAUGCGGGGAAAAGAAGAGGAGGCCGGGGGCCUCACCGAGGGAGCGUAGGGCACGGGGCAGUGGUGCUCGAGGUGGGGGACGGGGACGACGCACGCAAGGGAGGCAGACCGUUGAGGAGGAGGAGGCAGUCCGGCGGGGAAGCUCCGGCGAGGUCCUCGGGCGACGGUGGUGGCGCACAGCGACGGCGUCAGUGAAGGAGGCGCCGGGCUCAUUGCCCCUUCCUAUCUAGAUUGGGUCGGGGAAGAGGAGCGAGAGGGGAGGCGAGCCGGAGACGGGUGGUGGGGCGAGGACGUCGGGGCGGCGCCAGGGGCAGCGGUCGCGUGCGCUGGGGGGUUCGAUCCCCUUCCAGAUCGGAUCGGGUGAGGGAGAGAGGGAGUGGCGACGUGGGAGGGAGUGGGAGCGAGUGGGUUAGGGUUUCGGUCGCGAGGGGGGUUAUGGGGAGUGGGGUGGUUUGGGCCGGCCGGUUGCUGGGUUGGCCGGCUGUGUGGCUAGUUGGGCCACAUGGCCCAGGGGAUAGGGGGAUUUCUUUUCUCCUUUCAUUGUUUUUGUUUUAUUUUCUAAUUUUGUUUUCUUUUAGUCUUUAAUGUAUUUUAGUUUAAAUAAAAUACAAAAGAAACUCCUUAAUUAGUAUUAUCUUUUAACCCACUGCCACAAAAGGUUUUAACCCAAAAUAAAAUAGUUUAGUAUUUUAUAAAAUACCAAAGGCAUUUAAAUAAUGUUUUAGUUACCGCUUAAAUCAUUUUAGAGCACUCAAACCAUUUAUAAAAGUGUGAUUUCUCCACCAUAAUUACCUAUGCAUUAUUUGGCACAACCCGAACAUUUUAGUUUUAAUAUUUGAAAACCCUUAGCGUUUGACUUGAUUUUGAAUUUGAAUUUGGAACGGUUUCGAAUCAACGCGAGUUUAUCUACAAUAACCAAGGUGACGUCGCAUCAUUAGCAAAGGUUCACUGUAGCUUAAUUAUCCGGGCGUCACAAUUCUCCUCCACUACAAGAAAUCUCGUCCCGAGAUUUAAGAGGGGUGUAAGGGGAAAGUUCUGGUUACGAGAUUCUAACGAUUCUUCUCGGUCUUGGUUGCUCUUCUCGAAGAGGUCGAUCCAUUACGUUGAUGUCUUCAUUUCUCUGCUUCAGGUCAUUAUGAUGAAGUCGGCGUCCUUUCUUCGGGAACUCUAUCGUACUUACGACAGAGUAAGGGGGUAUUCUGGAAGAACGGACCUCUGCAAGGUUGACUAUCUGGUCAAUAUCAUCGGGGAAGGUGGCGGAAAGUAACUCUCGAACUAAAUCUUAAGAAAAAGCCGAGAGCAAGUAAGAAAGUACCAUGAGAAGUUUCAAACGGGUAGGCAAUCGUUCGAAGCCUGAAACAAAGUGUGAAGGGGUUCAAAGCAAUCGGAAUAAGUAUUAUGUCUGAUGCCAGUAUAGAUCAGUAGGACGGUGGUCCGUGAAUUACAUACGAGGUCACGCGCGAUGAAUAAAUUUGGGAACAGGGGGUGCACAGGAGAGUCAGGUUUUGAUCCUAUGGAACUGUGGGUUAUGGGCCCACCAUGUGGGUUAAAAAUAGGAGCGGUGACAUCUUGCACGGUCAUGAUAGCAAGGCAUGUCAGAGAGUAGCAUGCCAGUUAUAUGUCAGCAACAUCGUCGGUACCAAGGGCGAGGGACGAAGAGAACCAUUUUCCUGCUCAUUGAAACGAGGCGGACCAAUAGGCAAAGUUCUCGUCCAUCGGUGGUUACCGUAAUGUCACCAACAAUAGUAACAGGGUCUUACUGACAGAGUUGUACACCGAGGUGUUUGCACAAGCAGGGAAUUAAUACUGCUUAGAUCAUAAUGAUCACCAGAAACGUUAAACCAACCAAUGGAAAGGAAAAUAUGAUUAUCAGAUUAAACAGAACAAAGGAAAGGAAAAUGUGUUUAAACACAUAUUUCAGGGGUAUAUCCUUCCCAAGGACAAUGGUUAGACGAGAACCAUUUAGGUUAGGGAAGAGGAAGUUCAUGACAUUACCCAAACAACGGUGUUUGAAUAAUUGAUAACGAAAAUUUAGCAUUGUGCUUCAAAUGUUUUUAUUGAAGAUCGGAGUACCACAGACAUGCUUCGAGAUAGCAUUGACAUGGUCAUUAGGUAAGAUCAGGCUAUGGAUACACAAAGGAUCCAUCAGGAACAACUUAUAGAGUAAGUCUUACAAUUUCCUCAUGGAAGAAUAGCUAACCUUGCUAAAAAGGAAAACUUAUAACAAUAGGUCCUCCGGCCAGGUGUGUUAGGCAUGACAUCAACUUACCGGGUCAUAAAUAGACCAAUGUUAUAACUCUUGGAAAUAUGUUCCAACCAUCAUACCUGACCGAGAUUCAGAUCUGAUUGGUGUCAGGAUAACUCAGACUCAGGAUGCCUGAGAAGAAAAGGUGCAACACAAAUUGUCGAGGUGACAUUGUAUGAUUCUCGGGAAUUAAACCAUGGAAGCGAGUUCCGAAACAAGAGUUCAUCAUUAAAUCAAGGAGAGGAUGAGGGGGUGGCUGAUGGACUCAGCGACAAUUCCUCAAGAUUUCCAAAAAGAUGGAUUUCCAUAAUCAUGUGAACAAGGAUAUAACAUUUGUCAAAUCAAAUGGUAUAAUGAUGUAUGCUCGAGGAAAACAUACACAAUUAAACAUUAGUUGAAAGGUGCACCCGAAAUAUGGGCUGGGUUACACGACCAACGUCGGAAUGGUGAUUCAAUAAUCAAUAGUCUAAGAAUGAACGGCCGACCAUUAACUUCAAAGCAAUAGGGUUGCUAGAAGGGCAGGAUCCAAACAGCACCGCUCACUCAUUGGUACCCCGGUUGGAAUCAACACGAGGACCCAAGAAGGAAUGGUGAUGGUGAGAAGUAUCACCAUACCAAGAUUUCUUAAGAGGUGGUGAAAUUCUCACAACAUUGAGGACAAAAGAGAUGUUAAUGUUCCAAGGUAAAGAAGAACAAUUGCUGGAUAGCAAGGAACUUAAAGUUCAUUCAAAACAAGACCAAGUCUAUGUUUGAAAGGAAGGCAUGGAGGUGGUCGAUGAUAACACAGAUCAUCGAGGGACAAGCAUGGAAUUUCUCAUCAUGAAUUCAAUUGAUAUCUCGGAAGAAGUUAAAAUGUUGACGAUGAUCACGACACACUUGUCGAGAGGUUUCUUGAAGAUGUAAUUGAUCGGCAAUGACAUCAAGUCAAAGGAAUGGUGAAGCGAAAAGUUAUUGGAACCAAGGGUACGACACAAACUCCAAACCAAGCUUGUUCCUGGAGGUGAAACGAUAAGAUGAGGAAGAUCGACAUAAGCUUAGCUCAUCAUCGAAAGUUGUGCUCCAUGGUUAAGGACCAGGUAGCACAGUUAAAAUUUAGCACGCUAAUGAUAUAGCCGAUCAGGCUAGGAAUGACUUAAAUGAUUAUUAAACUCAUAAGCAACGAAAAUUACUUAGAGUUAUUGAAUCGGAGUGUGGAAUUGAUUCACUUAUCGGUGUCCUUGAGGGGUUCUAACAACUCAGAACCCGUUGGAAAAAAUGGAAUCGGCAAGAAUAUUAGUUGAUGAAGAACUCAUAAGAAGUUAAGUAGUUCCUUGGCAUUCUCGAGAUACCAGGGGGUAAUACUCGAUGACAGACCAAAGUAGAGGUUGGACGGGGGUAUUGCUCUGCAGAGGACAAGUGCUUAAACUUGCACGAGAAAUGGUAUUUAAAGGAGAACAUGGUCAGAACCAUGAUUGAAAAAGGCCAGAUCCCAGAUAUAAGAUGAACUUAUACCAAGGGAACAAUUAAUUUUAAAAGAAGCUUCGAUGAGAAGAUCUACAUCGUGUCCAUGGGCAUGAACACAAAGUUCAAGGUCGACUCCCACUUCUCCAAUGCAUAUCCUUUCAUUUACUUCUCGCGUUCGAUGAAGUUGUAGUGUUGAAAUUUUAUAUGGCAAAAUACCAGAAGAGUAUGACUCGUGAAAACUUUCGAGUUCACACAUAUUAAGGAAGGCAUAGGUUCAAGCCAUCGGGGCUUCUUAGAACAUAUACCACGAACUUCAGAAGUAAAUAACACAAGCUCAAAAGUAGAGCAUGGUUGACAAAGCAGAGGAUACAAUUUACCAAAGGCUUUAUAUAUCCAUGGAAAAGCUCACAAGGUUAUUUGAAUAUGAAGGAUAUUGUCGGAUAAACUCCAACAAAGGAUCCGGUGGUCUUCAAGGGAUCUGAUGUGAGCAUCGGUACUCAACUAGAGGAAGAAAGAAUGCAAGGAGAUCCGAUUAGAGAACAACUGACUAAUUCAAAGCUCAAUUGCAAAGGAAUUUAUGAUUUCCAAAUCAAGGGAUCAAAAGCAAUCGUUCUGAUCGAAAAUGAAUAAGCUCAACAGACUUAGAAGCACAAGCGAUCAAGGCAUUGAUUGGUCAAGAACCAGCUCACAUUCAAAUGACGUCUGAGCCAGAAGGAUGAAUUCUAGGAUCUGACUGAGGAUUGCGAGCAUUCGCAACAUAUUGAAUCAACGGACUCAAAAUGAUAAUUACAAGGGAUGCCAAUAAGAUUACGAGACUUAUGGGAUUAACCAUAAUGCAAGCAAACAAGAAUUUCAAGAGCAAUAGGCUCCCGAGGAUUUUCGGAAGAUCGAAUAGUAUUUUGAAGACUAUUGUGAAAUACAUGAAUCAACUGGGGAUGACUCGAUACUCGGUAGGUGCGAGUAAUUAUCCGUAUGGGUAUUUCUGCGGCAAGGAACUACAAGGCAGUGGUAUAAGGGAUUCUUAAAAGCCGGAGAGCAAUUCGAUGUAUCUGGUAAUAACAAGAGAAACUCAGAGUAAUUGUAUGAACAACAAGUGUAUGUCGUUAUCCAUAUGGAUAUAUCGGUAGUAGGGAAUUGAAAAGGCAGAGGGCACAAGGGUCUCGGGAAUGAUCGAAGAGUAUCUUCAACAUCUUCUGGUGCAGUCGGCGACCAUCUGUGAUAAGGGGCUCUUCGGGAGAAAGUAUUUACGAGACCCUACAGUUAGUCUUUUUAGCAAAAUCAUUUAACCCGAAUAGGAGAGAGUUCAGAGUCCUAGAGUAAAGGUCAAGGAAUAAAAGAUCCUAAUACCACCCAAUGGCGACGUGGGCCCGUAAGACACACAGCCAUGUUAGUAAAAGUUUUUCAAUGACUAGACUCGACUUCGGCCAAGGAGUUUGGAAGGGAGAUUCCUACAGGCAGUCGGCUCUGAUACCAACCUGUGACGCCCUCGAUUCAAUCGUACACUAAUCAUGCACGCAAAUGUGUACGAUCAAGAUCAGGGACUCACGGGAAGAUAUCACAACACAACUCUACAACAUAAAAUAAGUCAUACAAGCAUCAUAAUACAAGCCAGGGGCCUCGAGGGCUCGAAUACAAGUGCUCGAUCAUAGACGAGUCAGCGGAAGCCACAAUAUCUGAGUACAGACAUAAGUUAAACAAGUUUGCCUUAAGAAGGCUAGCACAAAAGUAGCAACGAUCGAAAAGGCAAGGCCUCCUGCCUGGGACCUCCUAACUACUCCUCGAAGCCGAACUCCAUGUAGAAUCAUCCUCGGGAUCUCUAGCUCCUGGACUCCAGCAUCUGAUUGCGAUAACCAGGUAGAAUGGAAAGGGGGAAAAGAGGGAGAAAAGCAACCGUGAGUACUCAUCCAAAGUACUCGCAAGCAAGGAGCUACACUACAUAUGCAUGGGUAUAUGUGUAAAGGGCCAUAUCGGUGGACUGAACUGCAGAAUGCCAGAAUAAGAGGGGGAUAGCUAAUCCUGUCGAAGACUACGCUUCUGGCAGCCUCCAUCUUGCAGCAUGUAGAAGAGAGUAGAUUGAAGUCCUCCAAGUAGCAUCGUAUAGCAUAAUCCUACCCGGCGAUCCCCUCCUCGUCGCCCUGUUAGAGAGUGAUCACCGGGUUAUAUCUGGCACUUGGAAGGGUGUGUUUUAUUAAGUAUCCAGUUCUAGUUGUCAUAAGGUCAAGGUACAACUCCGGGUCGUCCUUUUACCGAGGGACACGGCUAUUCGAAUAGAUAAACUUCCCUGCAGGGGUGCACCACAUAACCCAACACGCACGAUCCCAUUUGGCCGGACACACUUUCCUGGGUCAUGCCCGGCCUCAUAAGGUCAACACGUCGCAGCCCCACCUAGGCACAACAGAGAACUCAGCACGCCGGUCUAAAUCCUAUGGCGCAGGGGUCUGGGCCCAUCGCCCAUUGCACACCUGCACGUUGCGAACGCGGCCGAAAGCAGACCUAGCCUAGCAGGCGUUCCAGUCCAAUCCGGCGCGCGCCACUCAGUCGCUGACGUCACGAAGGCUUCGGCUGAUACCACGACGUCGAGUGCCCAUAACUGUUCCCGCGUAGUUGGUUAGUGCGUAUAGACCAAAUGGCCAGACUCAGAUCAAAUACCAAGAUCUCGUUAAGCGUGUUAAGUAUCCGCGAACGCCGACCAGGGCCAGGCCCAUCUCUCUCCUAGGUGGUCUCAACCUGCCCUGUCGCUCCGCCACAAAGUAACAGUCGGGGGCCGUCAGGAACCCAGGCCCAUCUCUACCGGGAUGGAGCCACCUGUCCUUUCAGCCCCCUCAUCAGAAUCACUUGCGGGUACUCAACGAGCCGACCCGACUUUAGUCACCACAUGUGUCAUGUAUAUAAAGUAUAUGGUAUAUACCCGUGAUCACCUCCCGAAGUGAUCACGACCCAGUAGUAUAGCAUGGCAGACGGACAAGAGUGUAAGGCCACUGAUGGAACACUAGCAUCCUAUACUAAGCAGUAGGAUAGCAGGUAAGGGUAACAACUGUAGCAACAAUGAUAGGCUAUGCAGCAGAAUAGGAUUAACCGAAAGCAGUAACAUGCUACACUCUUCUAAUGCAAGCAUGUAUAGAGAAGAAUAGGCGAUAUCUGGUGAUCAAGGGGGGGCUUGCCUGAUUGCUCUAGCAAGAAGGAGGGGUCGUCAACAGCGUAGUCGGUCGGGGCACCAGUAGCGGCGUCGGUCUCGUAGUCUACCGGAGAGAAGAGGGGGAAGAAACAAUGAAUACAAUGCAAACAGAUGCAUGACGAUGCAUGACAUGACAAAGCGUGAUGCUAGGUGUGCCCUAACGCGGUAGGAGGUGGUACCGACGAAGGGGGGAAACAUCCGGGAAAGUAUUCCCGGUGUUUCACGUUUUCGGACAAAUGAACCGGAGGGGGAAAGUUGCGUGUUUGCUAUGCUAGGGAUGUGUGGCGGAUGAACGGGCUGCGUAUCCGGAUUCGUCUCGUCGUUCUGAGCAACUUUCAUGUACAAAGUUUUUCCAUUCGAGCUACGGUUCAUUUUAUAUUAACUUAAAAAGGAUUUUAUCUUUUUCUAAAAUUAACAGAAUUAAUUUAAUUAGAAAAAGGUAAUUAUGACGUCAGCAUGAUGUCAGCAGUCAACGUUGACCGUUGACCUGGUCAACCUGACAGGUGGGUCCCACCUGUUAGGGACUGCUUAGCUAAUUAACAGUAGAUAAUUAGGUUAACUAGUUAUUAGGUUAAUUAAUCUUCAUUAGUUUAACUAAGCGGGAUUAAUUAAGUUAAUUAAUUAGUUAAUUAAUUAAUUAAUUAAUUUAAUUAUUAAUUUUUUUAUAUCUUUUUUUAAAACGUUCAGGGGGCUGGGGCCCCCCUGUCAUAGGCCCCAGGGGCCUUGGCGGGUUUGGUCGCUAGCGGGUGCGGGCAACGGGCGCAACGCCCGACCCGAACGGGCGCACGCCCAGGUGCAAGCGGACCCGGGAGGGCACCGAAACAGGGGAGGCCGGUGGCCACGGCGUGGCCAUGGCCGGAGCGGGGCGAGUCCGCGGUGGUGCGCGGGCGGCCGCCGGAGGUGGCACAGAGGGGCGAGGCCACCGUGGCGACGGCGCGCUGCAGCCCGACUGGUCCCUGGCGCCGGCUAGGGCGGAGGAAGGCGUCGGCCAGGGCAAGGGACAGAGAAGGCGCGGCAGUGGCCGCGAACGGGCGAGGACGGGAGGGCGCAGGCCGGUGCGAGGACGCGCACGAGCGCGGCCCGGCCGCGGUGUCCGAAUGGGCAGGGGAGUGCCGGGGGCGCGCGCACGAUCGAGUGGGCUCGGCCGGGGCGAGGGUGCGCGGUGUUCACGGCGACGGUGACCAGUGUGAUGGGGGGAAGAGAAGAGGAGGCCGGGGGCCUCACCGAGGGAGCGUAGGGCACGGGGCAGCGGUGCUCGAGGUGGGGGACGGGGACGACGCACGCAGGGGAGGCAGGCCGUUGAGGAGGAGGAGGCAGUCGGGCGGGGAAGCUCCGGCGAGGUCCUCGGGCGACGGUGGUGGCGCAGAGCGACGGCGUCAGUGAAGGAGGCGCCGGGCUCGUUGCCCCUUCCCGAUCUGGAUUGGGUCGGGGAAGAGGAGCGAGAGGGGAGGGGAGCCGGAGACGGGUGGCGGGGCGCGGCCGUCGGGGCGGCGCCAGGGGCAGCGGUCGCGUGCGCUGGGGGAUUCGAUCCCCUUCCAGAUCAGAUCGGGUGAGGGAGAGAGGGGAGUGGCGACGUGGGAGGGAGUGGGAGCGAGUGGGUUAGGGUUUCGGUCGCCGGGGGGUUAUGGGGAGUGGGGUGGUUUGGGCCGGCCGGUUGCUGGGCUGGCCGGCUGUGUGGCUAGUUGGGCCACAUGGCCCAGGGGAGAGGGGGGUUUCUUUUCUCCUUUCAUUGUUUUUGUUUUAUUUUCUAAUUUUGUUUUCUUUUAGUCUUUAAUGUAUUUUAGUUUAAAUAAAAUACAAAAGAAACUCCUAAAUUAGUAUUAUCUUUUAACCCACUGCCACAAAAGGUUUUAACCCAAAAUAAAAUAGUUUAGUAUUUUAUAAAAUACCAAAGGCAUUUAAAUAAUAUUUUAGUUACCGCUUAAAUCAUUUUAGAGCAUUAAAACCUUUUAUAAAAGUGUGAUUUCUCCACCGUAAUUACCUAUGCAUUAUUUGGCACAACCCGAACAUUUUAGUUUUAAUAUUUGAAAACCCUUAGCGUUUGACUUGAUUUUGAAUUUGAAUUUGGAACGGUUUCGAAUCAACGCGAGUUUAUCUACAGUAGGGGAGGUGACGUGGCAUCAUUAGCAAAGGUUCGCUGUAGCUUAAUUAUCCGGGCGUCACAGUUCACCACCUCCAUUGGUGCCUCUCCGAUGAUGCGUGAGUAGUUCUUUGUAGACCUUCGGGUCCAUAGUUAGUAGCUAGAUGGCUUUCUCUCUCUCGCUGAAUUCUCAAUACAAUGGUCUCUUGGAGAUCCAUAUGACGUAACUCUUUUUGUGGUGUGUUUGUUGGGAUCUGAUGAACUUUGAGUUUAUGAUCAGUCAUAUCUUUUUAUAUCCAUGAAAGUUAUUUGAGUUUCUUUGAUCUCUUAUAUGCAUGAUCUCAUAUAGCCACGUAUUUCUCCGAUAUUUGGCUUUUGUUGGCCAACUUGAUCUAUUUAUCUUGCAAUGGGAAGAGGUGCCCGGUAGUGGGUUCGAUCUUACGGUGCUCGAUCCCAGUGACAGAAAGGGAACGGGCGCGUAUGUAUCGUUGCUACUAAGGAUAAAAAGACGAGAUCUAUAUCUACCGCCAUAUAGAUAAACGGAUCUUGUCUACAUCAUGUGAUCGUUCUUAUUGCAUUACUCCGUUUUUCCAUGAACUUAAUACACUAGAUGCAUGCUGGAUAGCGGUCGAUGUGUGGAGUAAUAGUAGUAGAUGCAGGCAGGAGUCGGUCUACUAAUCUUGGACGUGAUGCCUAUGUAACGAUCAAUGCCUGGAUAUCAUCAUAAUUAUUCGAGGUUCUAUCAAUUGCCCAACAGUAAUUUGUUUACUCAACGUUUGCUAUUUUUCUCGAGAGAAGCCACUAGUGAAACCUACGGCCCCCGGGUCUUCUUUCUCAUAUAUUUGCUUGCGAUCUAUUUUUCUCUUGCACUUUUAUUAAGAUCUAUUAAACAAAAAAUACAAAAAUACUUUGCUGCACUUUAUUUUAUUUGCGAUCUAUUAUUUCAAUCUAUUACAACUUUCUUCCGUCCACGCACCGUUUCUGGCGCCGUACCCCGAAAGGGAUUGACAACCCCUUUAACACGUCGGGUUGCGAGGUGUUGUUAUUUGUGUGCAGGGGCUGUUUACGUUGUGUUUCUUGGUUCUCCUACUGGUUCAAUAACCUUGGUUUCAUAUCUGAGGGAAACACCUACCGCCGCUGUGCUGCAUCAUUGAUGUCUACUACACAACCUUCUUCUUGUAGACGUUGUUGGGCCUCCAAGUGCAGAGGUUUGUAGGACAGUAGCAAAUUUCCCUCAAGUGGAUGACCUAAGAUUUAUCAAUCCGUGGGAGGCGUAGGAUGAAGAUGGUCUCUCUCAAACAACACUGCAACCAAAUAACAAAGAGUCUCUUGUGUCCCCAACACACCCAAUACAAUGGUAAAUUGUAUAGGUGCACUAGUUCAGCGAAGAGAUGGUGAUACAAGUGCAAUAUGGAUGGUAGAUAUAGGUUUUUGUAAUCUGAAAAUAUAAAAACAGCAAGGUAACUAAUGAUAAAAGUGAGCGUAAAUGGUAUUGCAAUGCUAGGAAACAAGGCCUAGGGUUCAUACUUUCACUAGUGCAAGUUCUCUCAACAAUAAUAACAUAAUUGGAUCACAUAACUAUCCCUCAACAUGCAACAAAGAGUCACUCCAAAGUCACUAAUAGCGGAGAACAAACGAAGAGAUUAUUGUAGGGUAUGAAACCACCUCAAAGUUAUCCUUUCUGAUCGAUCUAUUCAAGAGUCCGUAGUAAAAUAACACGAAGCUAUUCUUUCCGUUCGAUCUAUCAUAGAGUUCGUACUAGAAUAACACCUUAAGAUACAAAUCAACCAAAAACCUAAUGUCACCUAGAUACUCCAAUGUCACCUCAAGUAUUCGUGGGUAUGAUUAUACGAUAUGCAUCACACAAUCUCAGAUUCAUCUAUUCAAUCCAACACAAAGUACUUCAAAGAGUGCCCCAAAGUUUCUACCAGAGAUUCAAGAAGAAAACGUGUGCCAACCCCUAUGCAUAAGUUCAUGAUGUUACGGAACCCGCAAGUUGAUCACCAAAACAUACAUCAAGUAGAUCAUGUGAUAUCCCAUUGUCACCACAGAUAAGCACAUGCAAGACAUACAUCAUGUGUUCUCAAAUCCUUAAAGACUCAAUCCGAUAAGAUAACUUCAAAGGGAAAACUCAAUCCAUUACAAGAGAGUAGAGGGGGAGAAACAUCAUAAGAUCCAACUAUAAUAGCAAAGCUCGCGAUACAUCACGAUCGUGCCAAAUCAAGAACACGAGAGAGAGAGAGAGAGAGAGAGAGAGAGAGAUCAAACACAUAGCUACUGGUACAUACCCUCAGCCCCGAGGGUGAACUACUCCCUCCUCGUCAUGGAGAGCGCCAGGGUGAUGAAGAUGGCCACCGGUGAGGGAUUCCCCCCUCCGGCAGGGUGCCGGAAUAAGGUCCUGAUUGUUUUUUGGUGGCUACAGAGGCUUGCGGCGGCGGAACUCCCGAUCUAGGUUAUUUUCUGGAGGUUUGUGUAUAUAUAAGAGGUUUUGGUGUCGAGAACAAGUCAGGGGGGUCUCCGGGCUGUCCACGAGGUAGGGGCGCGCCUCCCACCCUCGUGGGCAGCCCGGGACUGUUCUGGCCCAACUCUUUUACUCCAUGGCCUUCUUCUGGUCCAAAAAUAAGCUCCGUCAAGUUUCAGGUCAAUUGGACUCCGUUUGGUUUUCCUUUUCUGCGAUACUCAAAAACAAGAAAAAACAGAAACUGGCACUGGGCUCUAGGUUAAUAGGUUAGUCCCAAAAAUCAUAUAGAAUAGCAUAUAACUGCAUAUAAAACAUCCUAGAAGGAUAAUAUAAUAGCAUGAAUACUUCAUAAAUUAUAGAUACGUUGGAGACGUAUCAGCAUCCCCAAGCUUAAUUCCUGCUCGUCCUCGAGUAGGUAAAUGAUAAAAGAAAUAAUUUAUGAAGUGUGAAUGCUAGCAGGUGCACAAGUUUGAUCAAUGAUAAUUUCAAUCACCUUUUCUAGCAUCAUUGUAUGUCAUAACAGUAGCUCAACUCAUAAAACUUUUCAUGAUCAAGUAACAAGCUAUCCACAUGUUAAAGCAUAGACCAUAAACUUUCUUGAAAACUAACAAACUAUGUUUUCAUCAAACAAUUGCAGUUCAUCUUAUUUGCAGGAAGGGUCUAUGUAAGAGCUUUGAUUUAGCAAAUCCCACAUACUCAAUUAUCAUAUAGUCUUCCAUGAUUGCUACCACUCAAAGCAUAUUUUUAGAACAAAUAGCAUCCAUCAAACACAGAGAAAGAUAGGGGCUUAAUGUUUCGCCACCCAACUUAUUUAUCAUAUAGAUAAUUGUCAACAAUAAUAAUUCAUGAUCAAAUAUAUUUGAAUGGUCAUAUAUGCUUAGAUCUUUCCCUAUCACAUGAUGCUUGCCAACUAAAAAGUAGGUUGGAAUGAGAAGGAAUACUACUGACUCUUGCAUAAAAGUAAAACAUAGGCCCUUCGCAGAGGGAAGCAGGGAUUUGCAGAGGUGCCAGAGCUCGAAGCUUUAAAACAGAGAUGAAAAUAAUUUUGAGAGGUAUGCUUUCAUUGUCAACUAAUGACCAAGAGUUCCCAAUAUCUUCCAUACUAGAUACAUUAUAGGCGGUUCCCAAACAGAAAGGUAAAGAUUUUACUCCCCCUCCACCAACAAUCACAGUCCACGGCUUGUCCGAAACAACGGGUGCCAUCCAACUAUCAACAAUCCUGGGGGAGUUUUGUUUAAAUUAUUUGCGAUUUUGUUUUUGAUCUUUUGAUCAUAGGACUGGGCAUCCCAGUUACCAGCCACUUUCUCGUGAAUGAUGAGCGGAGUCCACUCAUCGUGAGAAUAACCCACCUAGCAUGGAAGAUUCUGACAGCCCCUAGUCGCUACAUCAGCGAUUCGGGCAUACAAAACAGAUUAUUAUUUGAAGGUUUAGAGUUUGGCACAUGCAAAUUUACUUGAAACGGCAAGUAAAUACCGCAUAUAGGUAGAUAUGGUGGACACUCAUGGAAGAAACUUGGUUCAAGGAAUUUGGAUGCACAAGCAGUAUUCCCGCUUAGUGCAGAUAUUUUGGCUAGCAAAGGAUUCUAAAUAGCAGGCACCACAUGUUAAAGGAUCCAUAACAAUAUAACUUCUAUACAAAUAUACCCAAGCAUAACUCAUUAUGUUGUCUUCCUUGUCCAACUUCAACUAAUUUGCUCAGGUUUGAAAAUAAUUAAUGGGGCUCACAAUCAUAGAAGAUGUCCAAGAUAGUAUAUUUAUAUGUGAAAUCUCCCUUCCUUCAAUAUUUUUUCAUGAAUUGUUCAAGUGACCAAUACAAUGUUUGCUAACAUUCAAUAAAUUUACCACCUCUGCUUCUUAUAUGUGAAGUCAUUACUCCCCAUGGGAUAAGCAUAUGAAACAUAUAUAAUUUCAGAUUUAUGAUAUUCAAUUCAUUCAACGAUUUACUCAUAGGAUAUAAGUGAAGCACACGAAUAAAUGACAAACUACUCCAAAAAGAUAUAAGUGAAGAUCAAUGAGUAGUUAAAUAAUUAUGUAGCUAUGUGAAGACUCUCUCUCAUUUAAGAAUUUCAGAUCUUGGGAUAUAAAUCAAACAACAAGCAAAACAAAAUAAAACGACACUUCAAGGAUAGCACUCAUCAUGUGAAGAAGCAAAAACUUAGGCUCAACCGAUACUAACCGAUAAUUGUUGAAGAGGAAAGGUGGGAUGCCUACCGGGGCAUCCCCAAGCUUAGAUGCUUGAGACUUCUUGAAAUAUUAUCUUGGGGUGCCUUGGGCAUCCCCAAGCUUGAGCUUUUGUGUCUCCUUAAUUCCUCUCAUAUCACGGUUUCCUAAAUCUCGAAAGCUUCAUCCACACCAAACUCAACAAGAACUCGUGAGAUAAGUUAGUAUAAACCAAUGCAAAAACUUUAUCAUUCUCUACUGUAGAAAAUCACAAAAAUUAUUAUUCAACAUUGCAUACUAAAUGUCUCUGCAUAUUUAAUACUCCUAUCCUCAAAUAGAAUCAUUAAACAAGCAAACAUAUGCAAACAAUGCAAACAUAACAACAAUCUGCCAAAACAGUACAGUCUGUAAAGAAUGCAAGAGUAUCAAUACUUCCCUAACUCCAAACAUUAUGAAAUUCUACCACACUGUAGAAAAUUUAUCAGAGCUUAUUAUGCAAAAAGUUUCAACAUUUUAUCACAUUCUGACUUUUCUAGGGAAUUUUUGCAACAGCGGUAAACUUUCUGUUUUGAAACAGCAACAUGUAUAUUUGCAAAAUAAUCAUAGUAAAAGCUAUCCUUGACAUUUUUAUUGAAACUAGAGAUGCAAAACAUUAUUAUAAAUAACAGCAAGCAAAUACUAACAAAAGAAAAUGACGCUCCAAGCAAAACACAUAUCAUGUGGUGAAUAAAAAUGUAUCUCCAAGUAAAGUUACCGAUGAACGAAGACGAAAGAGGGGAUGCCAUCCGGGGCAUCCCCAAGCUUAGGCUUUUGGUUCUCCUUGAAUAUUACCUUGGGGUGCCUUGGGCAUCCCCAAGCUUAGGCUCUUGCCACUCCUUAUUCCAUAGUCCAUCGAAUCUUUACCCAAAACUUGAAAACUUCACAACACAAAACUUAACAGAAAACUUGUAAGCUCCGUUAGUAUAAGAAAAUAAAUCACCACUUAGGUACUGUUGUGAACUCAUUCUAAAUUCAUAUUGGUGUAAUAUCUACUGUAUUCCAACUUAUCUAUGGUUCAUACCCUCCGAUACUACUCAUAGAUUCAUCAAAAUAAGCAAACAACACAUAGAAAACAGAAUAUGUCAAAAACAGAACAUGCUGUAGUAAUCUGUAUCAUUCGAAUACUUCUGGAACUCCAAAAAUUCUGAAAUAAAUUGGUGGACCUGAGGAAUUUGUCUAUUAAUCUUCAUCAGAAAGAAUCAACCUAAAAUCACUCUCUAGUAAAAAAUGGCAGCUAAUCUCGUGAGCGCAAAAGUUUCUGUUUUUUACAGCAAGAUCACAUAGACUUCACCCAAGUCUUCCCAAAGGUUCUACUUGGCACAAACACUAACUAAAACAUAAAACCACAUCUAAACAGAGGCUAGAUGAAUUAUUUAUUACUAAACAGGAACAAAAAUCAAGGAACAAAAGUAAAAUUGGGUUGCCUCCCAACAAGCGCUAACGUUUAACGCCCCUAGCUAGGCAUGAUGAUUUCAAUGAUGCUCACAUAAAAGAUAAGAAUUGAAACAUAAAGAGAGCAUCAUGAAUAAUAUGACUAUCACAUUUAAGUCUAACCCACUUCCUAUGCAUAGGGAUUUUGUGAACAAACAAUUUAUGGGAACAAUAAUCAACUAGCAUAGGAAGGCAAAGCAAGCAUAACUUGAAGAUUUUCAACACAUAGAGAUGAAACUUGAUAUUAUUGCAAUUCCUACAAGCAUAUGUUCCUCACUCAUAAUAAUUUUUAGUAGCAUCAUGAAUGAAUUCAACAAUAUAACUAUCACCUAAAGCAUUCUUUUCAUGAUCUACAAGCAUAGAAAUUUUAUUACUCUCCACAUAAGCAAAUUUAUUCUCAUCAAUAGUAGUGGGAGCAAACUCAGCAAAAUAACUAUCAUGUGAAGCAUAAUCCAAUUGAAAAUUAAAAUCAUGAUGACAAGUUUCAUGGUUAUAUUUAUUCUUUAUAGCAUACGUGUCAUCACAAUAAUCAUCAUAAAUAGGAGGCAUGCUUUCAUCAUAAUAAAUUAGCUCAUCAAAACUUGGGGGACUAAACAUAUCAUCUUCAUCAAACAUAGCAUCCCCAAGCUUGUGGCUUUGCAUAUCAUUAGCAUCAUGGGUAUUCAAAUAAUUCAUACUAACAACAUUGCAAUCAUGCUCAUCAUUCACAUAUUUUAUGCCAAGCAUUCUAUGUAAUUCUUCUUCUAGUACUUGAGCACAAUUUUCCUUCCCAUCAUUUUCACGAAAGAUAUUAAAAAGAUGAAGCAUAUGAGGCACCCUCAAUUCCAUUUUUUUGUAGUUUUCUUUUAUAAACUAAACUAGUGAUAAAACAAGAAACUAAAAGAUUCAAUUGCAAGAUCUAAAGAUAUACCUUCAAGUACUCACCUCCCCGGCAACGGCGCCAGAAAAGAGCUUGAUGUCUACUACACAACCUUCUUCUUGUAGACGUUGUUGGGCCUCCAAGUGCAGAGGUUUGUAGGACAGUAGCAAAUGUCCCUCAAGUGGAUGACCUAAGGUUUAUCAAUCCGUGGGAGGCGUAGGAUGAAGAUGGUCUCUCUCCAACAACCCUGCAACCAAAUAACAAUGAGUCUCUUGUGUCCCCAACACACCCAAUACAAUGGUAAAUUGUAUAUGUGCACUAGUUCGGCGAAGAGAUGGUGAUACAAGUGCAAUAUGGAUGGUAGAUAUAGGUUUUUGUAAUCUGAAAAUAUGAAAACAGCAAGGUAACUAAUGAUAAAAGUGAGCGUAAAUGGUAUUGCAAUGCUAGGAAACAAGGCCUUGGGUUCAUACUUUCACUAGUGCAAGUUCUCUCAACAAUAAUAACAUAAUUGGAUCACAUAACUAUCCCUCAACAUGCAACAAAGAGUCACUCCAAAGUCACUAAUAGCGGAGAACAAAAGAAGAGAUUAUUGUAGGGUACGACACCACCUCAAAGUUAUCCUUUCUGAUCGAUCUAUUCAAGAGUCCGUAGUAAAAUAACACGAAGCUAUUCUUUCCGUUCGAUCUAUCAUAGAGUUCGUACUAGAAUAACACCUUAAGAUACAAAUCAACCAAAACCCUAAUGUCACCUAGAUACUCCAAUGUCACCUCAAGUAUCCGUGGGUAUGAUUAUAUGAUAUGCAUCACACAAUCUCAGAUUCAUCUAUUCAAUCCAACACAAAGUACUUCUAAGAGUGACCCAAAGUUUCUACCGAAGAGUCAAGACAAAAACGUGUGCCAACCCCUAUGCAUAAGUUCACGAUGUUACGGAACCCGCAAGUUGAUCACCAAAACAUACAUCAAGUAGAUCACGUGAUAUCCCAUUGUCACCACAGAUAAGCACAUGCAAGACAUACAUCAAGUGUUCUCAAAUCCUUAAAGACUCAAUCCGAUAAGAUAACUUCAAAGGGAAAACUCAAUCCAUUACAAGAGAGUAGAGAGGGAGAAACAUCAUAAGAUCCAACUAUAAUAGCAAAGCUCGCGAUACAUCAAGAUCGUGCCAAAUCAAGAACACGAGAGAGAGAGAGAGAGAGAUCAAACACAUAGCUACUGGUACAUACCCUCAGCCCCGAGGGUGGACUACUCCCUCCUCGUCAUGGAGAGCGCCGGGAUGAUGAAGAUGGCCACCGGUGAGGGAUUCCCCCCUCCGGCAGGGUGCCGGAACAGGGUCCCGAUUGGUUUUUGGUGGCUACAGAGGCUUGCGGCGGCGGAACUCCCGAUCUAGGUUAUUUUCUGGAGGUUUUGUAUAUAAAAGAGGUUUUGGCAUCGAGAACAAGUCAGGGGGGUCUCCGGGCUGUCCACGAGGUAGGGGGGCGCGCCCAGGGGGUGGGCGCGCCUCCCACCCUCGUGGGCAGCCCGGGACUCUUCUGGCCCAACUCUUUUACUCCAUGGCCUUCUUCUGGUCCAAAAAUAAGCUCCGUCAAGUUUCAGGUCAAUUGGACUCCGUUUGGUUUUCCUUUUCUGCGAUACUCAAAAACAAGAAAAAACAGAAACUGGCACUGGGCUCUAGGUUAAUAGGUUAGUCCCAAAAAUCAUAUAAAAUAGCAUAUAAAUGCAUAUAAAACAUCCUAGAAGGAUAAUAUAAUAGCAUGAAUACUUCAUAAAUUAUAGAUACGUUGGAGACAUAUCAAUCAUCCCUUCCUCUUUGGGGAAAUACCGACGUAGCUUCAAGCGACAUCAAUCACCACUUAAUGUCAUCCUUCAUGGGUUGUAUGAGAUCUUCCUCUUGAUGCAAACCUAUGGAAACAUACCUAACCCCACAUAGAACUCUCACGUAGACCAUGGGUUAGUACACAAAGCGUAAUGGACAAUGCUUACCAUACCAUGGGAUCACUUGAUCUCUCUCCGUACAUCUUGUAUGCUUUGUGUGUUGAUCAACUUGAUUCACUCUUUGACUUAGUCUUGAGAGUAGUGUAGUUUGGUAGAAUGGUUUGCAAAGUUUUAGGCCAAAUCGAUGAGUGUAGGUGGUACUUCAUGUACAACUUGUUCUUUGGUCAAAAUCUUUGGUAAUUUGUGUAGGUCAAAUGGAGUGGUGGACUUUGAGGAAAUGAGGGUGGUGAGGUUGUUUUGUCAUGGUUGAUCACCAUGGCAAAUUUGAGGUCCAAUGGAUGGGUGAAAAUAUACUUCCUUCACAAAAUGGUUUGGUGUAUAAAAAGUUUGGGAAUUUGUGGAUGGGUUUGUAAGAGUUGGGUGAGGCUCAAAACUGGUGGUUAGGCUUUAUGUGGCUAGGUUAUGAUCUAUGCAAAAUUUACCGAAAAAGGCUUUCGCCCCGCUUUAUAUAUAAAGCACCAACCAACAUCCGAGCCGAUACAAACGACAACACGCAACACCAACACACACCCAAGGCCAGAUACAUAGGUGCCAAGGACCUACAACAACAACACACCGAACGACUUGAAGUAGACUAAACAAUGACUGUAAGCAACACUACGGAGCCGCCGGAGCCUUUCAAGGUGAAGAUACCACGAAGAGGUGAAGCUGAGAGUUGACGAACCGUGAGCUCCAAGACAGUGCCUUCAAGAAGGAUACAACACCGAAGCGCCGCCACCACCCGAUCCAAAGAUCUAGAUUUUCAUCUGGAGCACGACGAAGGGAAAGGAGCAACCACAACGGAGACUUCAGGAAGAUGACGACGACCACGAGCGCCGCCUCCGUCGGCCCGGCCAAUGCCACGCAAGAUUUUCACCCCGGCAAUCAUACUCCGCCUUCACCAAGGUGCUGCCAGGCACAAGACCCAAACGGCACACCACCACGAAACAUCAAACCGCCAGCCACCACGCCGCCCCCGCGGCCAUGCCUGCUAGCCGCCCGCACCUGAGCCGCGAGCUCAGCCCACGAGCACCGCAGCUCCCGCCAACCAGACCGCCGUCCAGGAAACAAGACACCCCAUAGGUCCUUCAAGUUGCGAGCGAUGAACCGACCGGCUUGCUCCAACCGCCGCCAGAGUGCCGGUGACCAGAACGACCAGACCGAUCAGGGAGCCAUCGGGUCUAAGAAGAGGUGAAGCGGGAGCGGACGUCGUCAACGCUCGGCACCCCUGCUGGUGACGGGUGGCCCGACCGCAUCGGAGCCACCUAUCACACCCACCACCUCUUCCAAACGCCACCCCUGAUGCCCAACCUCUGCUCCCAGCUGGAUCUGCAUCUGGCAAGGACCGACCACCCGCCCAGCCACGCAGAGAUCGCCGGACCGGCCGUAGACGAAGCCGAAGACGACCAACAGGGCAUCCACACAGGGCACCUGCGAAUGAACAGAAGCCAAACCUGACUCCAGCCGUCGCCGCAACGCCGGCCCGACCAAACACCGUGAGGCCACCACGCCGUAGCCCACGCCCCUCGCAAUGACCAACGCCGGGCCGCUGCCUCCACCUCGCGCCCCUUGCCCACACCAGUUGGAAGGAUCCAGCCGCAGCAGGCACGCGCACCACCCACAGCCUCUACCUGCAGCCACCGCCGUCGGCCCACACCGCCCGCAGCCCACACCGCCCGCCGCCGCCAACUGCCAAAUCUACUGCUACCACAGCCGCAGGCACGCCCCCCUCCCUCCCACUUAGCAGCCGGCCAUGGCGCCCAAAGCCCCGAGGGCUACCGCUGGAGAGGCAUGUGCUGCGCCACCGCGCCCUGCAACCGCACGGAGUCCCGACCCAGCGGCGCCGGCCCGCACCGGAGCCCCUGCGCGAGGAGGCGAGAGGUCCCGCCGCCGACGACGCCGGCUGGGCUUCGCCCAGCCGCGUCCCCUGGCGGCGGCGAGGAGGAGGAGGGCCGGGAAGGGAGUUGCGGGCGGCGGCAGCUGGGGAUCCUCCCCGUAGCCCACGGGCACGACGAGGGAGGGAGAGGAUAAGGUACAAUCCUUGAUUCGUCUCUAUGCAAAAUUUCAGCUUCAUAGGACAAAGGCACAAUGCACUUGCUUCAUAGGUCAACAGAUUUGGCAGACACUUAAGAAGGAUGCUCUAGUCAAAAUUUGAUUUAUAGGUGUUUGAAUGGAAAUAGAGUUUAUAGGUAUAGGAGGGUUUCUGGAAAAUUUGGUGAGGCCAAAGUGUCAAAGGAAAAAGGGUCCCCAGUGCAAAGAUGGUCUCUAGGUUUUAAUUUUAGUAAAAGGGUUUAGGGUUUUAGUGAUCCAAACUUAAGACAAAAUUAUCCAGGGUCAAGGUAACUUGGGUAGGUUAACAAGGCUUGAGCAACCAAGCAAGUCAAUCAUCAUCAAGUAUACACCAAGUUUCAAGAAAAUCCAAGAACACCAGAAGAAAAAGGCAGAAGCCACAACUUGCAAAAGGAAUUUUCAGGCAGUGAAAAUCCAGGUUGUUACAACCGGUGAACAACUGUGACGAUUCUAGGUAAUGAGGUUGUGCUUCCCGACGAACCUUCACCCCACACCCUAAGAUAGAUAUUGUGGUUGUUGCUUCCUCGACGAGGUCGGCCUCCCCCAUCUCAUGCUCAGGGCGACAGGAAAGUGACCGACACCGCGAAUAUUUCAAGUACAUGAUAUUUAGCAAACCCUCCUUUUUUUUAAUUUAGGGAACCCAAAGACUAAGUGCUUCUCUCUCUACGUAUAUAUCUUUGUACUUGAAAAAUAAGGAGUAUAGAAGUCAAGUAAAAAAAAGAGUACAAAUUAUGUCUAAGUCGAACGGUGCCAAGUUUGAUUAAAAUUUAGGAAAACUAUCAAUCAUACCAAUACUCAAUUUUUGCACUAUCAGACGUCACACAUUUAUACGUCUUCUUUUCAAGCAUGGACGGAGUACAUGCCUAAGUUUUAACAUAACCAAAUCUUUAGCGGGUUUUUUUUUCUAAAAUUAUCAUGCUUGCAGCAUCUCUUUUUUUGACAAGAACAGCAGGAGCUCUGCCUUUGCAUUGUAGAUGGGAAGGAGGUACAUGGUACAAGUAGAGGCGGCAAACUGCCCAAAAAAGCCAAAAACACAGGAAAACACUUGCUCUCGUACAGAGAGCUACAGAUGCAAACUAGACAGCAUCCUAAACCAUGUUUCUACCCAGCCACCUGGAUGGAAGGACGGAAGGCCUCGUUGAGCAUUUUGAUAUCAUCCUGAAUGAGAUUCACCAAGGCUCUUGACGCCAUCUCAGCAUUCUCAAAGACCCUUCUGUUCCGUUCCUUUCAAAGAUGCCAAGCAAUGUAUGCCGAGAGGGAUGUUUCCUCCGCAGCCUUGGAUUGCGCACCGCAAUGCAUAUAGAGCAUGUUCCACCAAUCUGAAACUGAGUUUGCAGAGUGCACCACGUUGUAAAUCAUGUCACUUGUACCCUGGAAUAGGUACCAGACCUCUCUCGCAUAGCUGCACCGCAGCGUGAUAUGUUAUGCGGUUUUGGGCUCCUGAUCACACAGCCGACAGCAGGCAUUGUAUGGCCAUCGUCUAGCCUGCAGCCUGUCCGCAGUCCAAUUUCUAUUCUGCAGCAAUAGCCAGAUGUAGAACCGUACCUUUCCCUCAAGCUUUGUUCUCGACACGUGUGCAAUCCCGGGCUGCUCAAUCCAUGCAGCGAACUAGAUCUCAUAAGCAGAGCAGGCCGAGUAUCUUCCAUUUGCAGUGACAUUUUCGAUAGCAUUGAUUCUUAGCAUACAGCAAAACUAACAUGAGGGGCUCGCAUGUUAGAUGCAAGCAACCGUCCGACAGAGCUGUUAGAUGGGUGUAGUUGGAGCAGAAGUCACUUCUAUCCACCAUUUUAACAUAGCUUAAAAAUUGCAAACAAUGUACUAUACGCUAAAAAAUCGUGAACUGCAAAAACUAUAUGCUAAUUAAGAGUUACAACCCUAGCCAACACCCGAUGCUUUGCCAAAAACUGUGUUUCUUUGAAUAAGAUUUAGUUUACUAACUACAAGUUGAUACAGAUCAUUGCAAGAAUUGCAAACGAACAAUGUUGCAAAAAUAAUUAGGAAACAUUAUGCAGCAUGUGUAUGCACAUUUUGGAACGGAGGGUGUAUAUGUCAAGUAGUACUGCUAAAAUUGCUCUCAGACUGCAUAAAUGACCUAUUACAGUAUCUUACAGGUCACUGCCAUUUCUACACACACAACUACAUGUGGGAAGCAGAGUUAAAUACACUAGGGGUGCCUCAACUUGUUCGGUACGGUCAGUUUGGUGCCUAAAGUUGUAAAAUACAUGAAACUGAUGCUCGAACUUGUCUGGUUGUGCAAAUACGGUGCCUCCUUCCAUAUCCAGACGUACGCUAUGCCGGCAUGGAGUGACAGCAUGGCGGUGGCCCACAUGUAAGUGGCUGAGAGCAGGGGAAGAGCUGGGUAGCCUGCGCGUGAGGAGUCGCCUCAUAUUUUAUUUAAUCACGUAUGAAAGCCAAUAGUAAAAAUAAAUUGCAUGAUUUAGAAUCCAUGCUGAGAUCUCACAGUCGCAGAUUGUAUUGUACGCAUAAGCUAUCCACCACGUCAAAAUAUGCACAGUGGACUUUCAUAAGGUCGAAUUAUAUAUACGGUGUUGCUGUGCAAAAGGUAACUUUGGAGCACGGGCAUAUUGUGCCAGUUUCUCUUAAGUUCAGAGAAUUGGAUUUUUACAACUAAAAAAAUUCCAAAAUCUUUUAUACGUGCACACAUAGAAGUGUAAUAUAUUGUGCGAAUUUUCAUCAAAAUUCGCGUUUGUAUGUGAGAGAUACCAAAAAUAUACAUACAUGCAAAAUUUUCCUUGUUAUUUGUCAAGAAUUUUGUCUUUAUUGCAGGGCAUAAUAUAACAUAAUUUUGUACGAAAUUUGACAGUCAGUGCACGUGCAUACGUUUCUGGUGUGAAAAAAAUCUGAACUUUUAAGUGACAAUUUUUAACCUUUAAAAAAAUGCCCAGUGGCCACCGUGCUCCGAAAAUCCGCUUUGGCUGCUAUGUACCUCUUCAAGCUAUUCCUUUAUAUAUGGCACUCGUUUGGGCCCACACAAGUUUUAUUUUUAUUUUUCAAGUUUAUGUUUAUUUUUGGUCUUUCAUAUUGUUUUUACCUUUUGAAAGAAGAAAUGCAAGAAAAAGUUACAGCUGCCAUGAACUUAAAAGAAAGCGCUAGUGCAUUUCAUGUUUUUGGAAAAUGUUUCACAUGUAUUCAAAAGUUAUAACGUGUUUACGAAAUUUGUCAGGUUCAACAUGUUUUAGAAUAUGUCCAUAGAGUAUUAACUUUUGUGUGUGUGUAAAAUUAUCCUUACAAUUCUACAAACACGGUUGACAUGUUUUGAUACAUUUCUAGAAUUUAAUAUUACUACACAGUAAUUUUCAUAUAUGUUGAAUAAUUUCAAAAAAAUACAAUGCUGUCAAUUGUUUAAUAAUUUUGCAUUUCAGAAAUACAAUGAAGAUACACCAUAAUCAUGUAUCCUUCUGGUCCGGAAUGAAGAUAUAUAAAUUUACACAAUAAUCUUAAAUAUUUUUUGAAACUUUUAAAUCCACAUAUAUUUUUGAAAAAGUUAAUUUUACCUCUUCAAAGUACACAAUGAAAAGAAAAAAAAAUAGUAACUGCAUAUCGAUAAUUAUUGUAUUUUUUAUAUGGGAAAUUUGCGUGUCAUAAAACUAAACAGGAACUUGGAGAAAAAAUAAAAAAUAAAACCGGUAGAUUACGCAUCAGAAAAAUUGCAAAGCAACACGUGGAAUUGGUCUACAUAAUUUUCUAGCUAUUACUUGUACAUACCGGAUAGUUUGCCCACGUGGGCAGAUCGUGACGUUUGGUAACCUGGAGGUGCAGGUUCUAAACACAGUCAUGGAGAUCUUUUUUCAUGUUAUUUCUCUCUAGCAUACACUGUAUUUGAGGACUUCCCUACAUGAUUAAAUAAAAUACAAGGGAUGUUCCUGCAAAAUAAUUCGUCCCUGCACGUAUCCACUUACAUGUGGGCCACUGCAAUGCUGGAACUUCACGUGGGCAGGGCGUAUGUUUGAAUACGGAAGGAGGCACCGUAUUUGCAUGACUGGACAAGUUUGGGCACUAAUUUUAUGUAUUUUGCAACUUUAGGCACCAAACUGACCGUGCAGGACAAGUUUAGGCACCUCCGGUGUAUUUAACUCUUAGUCAUGCUUUUGAAAGAUGAUUUCCCUAGUGAAAUUCUUCUCUUUUUUAGGUUAAUAUGCCCAAGUCCUAUGAGGAUUAUAUCAGAAAAAAGAUAGAGAUCGCACGCAUUAUUGAAAUUCUUCCUUCCGAGAAGACUGAGGCAACAGUAUAAUUAAGAUUCUGAAGAAUGAGAUAAUUGGCAAACAAGCGUUGUUUAUAAGAUUAUGAAACUGAACCAUCCAUUGUCAUGUUGUACUGUGCUUCCCACAUGUAGUUGUGUGUAGAAAUGGCAGUGACCUGUAAGAUACUGUAAUAGGUCAUUUAUGCAGUCUGAGAGCAAUUUUAGCAGUAUUACUUGACAUGUACACCCUCCGUUCCAAAAUGUGCAUACACAUGCUGCAUAAUGUUUCCUAAUUAUUUUUGCAACAUUGUUCGUUUGCAAUUCUUGCAAUGAUCUGUAUCAACUUGUAGUUAGUAAACUAAAUCUUAUUCAAAGAAACGCAGUUUUUGGCAAAGCAUCGGGUGUUGGCUAGGGUUGUAACUCUUAAUUAGCAUAUAGUUUUUGCAGUUACACGAUUUUUUAGCGUAUAGUACAUUGUUUGCAAUUUUUAAGCUAUGUUAAAAUGGUGGAUAGAAGUGACUUCUGCUCCAACUACACCCAUCUAACAGCUCUGUCAGACGGUUGCUUGCAUCUAACAUGAGAGCCCCUCAUGUUAGUUUUGUUGUAUGCUAAGAAUCAAUGCUAUCGAAAAUGUCACUGCAAAUGGAAGAUACUCGGCCUGCUCUGCUUAUGAGAUCUAGUUCGCUGCAUGGAUUGAGCAGCCCGGGAUUGCACACGUAUCGAGAACAAAGCUUGAGGGAAAGGUACGGUUCUACAUCUGGCUAUUGCUGCAGAAUAGAAAUUGGACUGCGGACAGGCUGCAGGCUAGACGAUGGCCAUACAAUGCCUGCUGUCGGCUGUGUGAUCAGGAGCCUGAAACCGCAGAACAUAUCACGCUGCGGUGCAGCUAUGCGAGAGAGGUCUGGUACCUAUUCCAGGGUACAAGUGACAGGAUUUACAACGUGGUGCACUCUGCAAACUCAGUUUCAGAUUGGUGGAACAGGCUCUAUAUGCAUUGCGGUGCACAAUCCAAGGCUGCGGAGGAAACAUCCCUCUCGGCAUACAUUGCUUGGCAUCUUUGAAAGGAACGGAACAUAAGGGUCUUUGAGAAUGCUGAGAUGGCGUCAAGAGCCUUGGUGAAUCUCAUUCAGGAUGAUAUCAAAAUGCUCAACGAGGCCUUCCGUCCUUCCAUCCAGGUGGCUGGGUAGAAACAUGGUUUAGGAUGCUGUCUAGUUUGCAUCUGUAGCUCUCUGUACGAGAGCAAGUGUUUUCCUGUGUUUUUGGCUUUUUUGGGCAGUUUGCCACCUCUACUUGUACCAUGUACCUCCUUCCCAUCUACAAUGCAAAGGCAGAGCUCCUGCUGUUCUUGUCAAAAAAAGAGAUGCUGCAAGCAUGAUAAUUUUUGAAAAAAAAAUCCGCUAAAGAUUUGGUUAUGUUAAAACUUAGGCAUGUACUCCGUCCAUGCUUGAAAAGAAGACGUAUAAAUGUGUGACGUCUGAUAGUGCAAAAAUUGAGUAUUGGUAUGAUUGAUAGUUUUCCUAAAUUUUAAUCAAACUUGGCACCGUUCGACUUAGACAUAAUUUGUACUCUUUUUUUUACUUGACUUCUAUACUCCUUAUUUUUCAAGUACAAAGGUAUAUACGUAGAGAGAGAAGCACUUAGUCUUUGGGUUCCCUAAAUUAAAAAAAAGGAGGGUUUGCUAAAUAUCAUGUACUUGAAAUAUUCGCGGUGUCGGUCACUUUCCUGUCGCCCUGAGCAUGAGAUGGGGGAGGCCGACCUCGUCGAGGAAGCAACAACCACAAUAUCUAUCUUAGGGUGUGGGGUGAAGGUUCGUCGGGAAGCACAACCUCAUUACCUAGAAUCGUCACAGUUGUUCACCGGUUGUAACAACCUGGAUUUUCACUGCCUGAAAAUUCCUUUUGCAAGUUGUGGCUUCUGCCUUUUUCUUCUGGUGUUCUUGGAUUUUCUUGAAACUUGGUGUAUACUUGAUGAUGAUUGACUUGCUUGGUUGCUCAAGCCUUGUUAACCUACCCAAGUUACCUUGACCCUGGAUAAUUUUGUCUUAAGUUUGGAUCACUAAAACCCUAAACCCUUUUACUAAAAUUAAAACCUAGAGACCAUCUUUGCACUGGGGACCCUUUUUCCUUUGACACUUUGGCCUCACCAAAUUUUCCAGAAACCCUCCUAUACCUAGAAACUCUAUUUCCAUUCAAACACCUAUAAAUCAAAUUUUGACUAGAGCAUCCUUCUUAAGUGUCUGCCAAAUCUGUUGACCUAUGAAGCAAGUGCAUUGUGCCUUUGUCCUAUGAAGCUGAAAUUUUGCAUAGAGACGAACCAAGGAUUGUACCUUAUCCUCUCCCUCCCUCGUCGUGCCCGUGGGCUAUGGGGAGGAUCCCCAGCUGCCGCCGCCCGCAACUCCCUUCCCGGCCCUCCUCCUCCUCGCCGCCGCCAGGGGACGCGGCUGGGCGAAGCCCAGCCGGCGUCGUCGGCGGCGGGACCUCUCGCCUCCUCACGCAGGGGCUCCGGUGCGGGCCGGCGCCGCUGGGUCGGGACUCCGUGCGGUUGCAGGGCGCGGUGGCGCAGCACAGGCCUCUCCAGCAGUGGCCCUCGGGGCUUUGGGCGGCGUGGCNNNNNNNNNNNNNNNNNNNNNNNNNNNNNNNNNNNNNNNNNNNNNNNNNNNNNNNNNNNNNNNNNNNNNNNNNNNNNNNNNNNNNNNNNNNNNNNNNNNNNNNNNNNNNNNNNNNNNNNNNNNNNNNNNNNNNNNNNNNNNNNNNNNNNNNNNNNNNNNNNNNNNNNNNNNNNNNNNNNNNNNNNNNNNNNNNNNNNNNNNNNNNNNNNNNNNNNNNNNNNNNNNNNNNNNNNNNNNNNNNNNNNNNNNNNNNNNNNNNNNNNNNNNNNNNNNNNNNNNNNNNNNNNNNNNNNNNNNNNNNNNNNNNNNNNNNNNNNNNNNNNNNNNNNNNNNNNNNNNNNNNNNNNNNNNNNNNNNNNNNNNNNNNNNNNNNNNNNNNNNNNNNNNNNNNNNNNNNNNCGUAGAUUUGGCAGUUGGCGGCGGCGGGCGGCGUGGGCUGCGGGCGGUGUGGGCCGACGGCGAUGGCUGCAGGUAGAGGCUGUGGGUGGUGCGCGUGCCUGCUGCGGCUGGUCCUUCCAGCUGGUGUGGGAAAUGGGCGCGAGGUGGAGGCAGCGGCCCGGCGUUGGUCGUUGCGAGGGGCGUGGGCUACGGCGUGGUGGCCUCACGGUGUUUGGUCGGGCCGGCGUUGCGGCGACGGCUGGAGUCAGGUUUGGCAUCUGUUCAUUCGCAGGUGGCCUGUGUGGAUGCCCUGUUGGUUGUCUUCGGCUUCGGCUACGGCCUGUCCGGCGAUCUCUGCAUGGCUGGGCGGGUGGUCGGUCCUUGCCAGAUACAGAUCCAGCUGGGAGCAGAGGUUGGGCGUCAGGGGUGGCGUUUGGAAGAGGUGGUGGGUGUGAUAGGUGGCUCCGAUGCGGUCGGGCCACCCGUCACCAGCAGGGGUGCCGAGCGUUGACGACGUCCGCUCCCGCUUCACCUUUUCUUAGACCUGAUGGCUCCCUGAUCGGUCUGGUCGUUCUGGUCACCGGCACUCUGGCGGCGGUUGGAGCAAGCCGGUCGGUUCAUCGCUCGCAACUUGAAGGACCUAUGGGGUGUCUUGUUUCCUGGACGGCGGUCUGGUUGGCGGGGGCUGCGGUGCUCGUGGGCAGAGCUCGUGGCUCAGGUGCAGGCGGCUAGCAGCCAUGGCCGCGGGGGCGGCGUGGUGGCUGGCGGUUUGAUGUUUCGUGGUGGUGUGCCAUUUGGGUCUUGUGCCUGGCGGCACCUUGGUGAAGGCGGAGUAUGAUUGCCGGGGUGAAAAUCUUGCCUGGCAUUGGCCGAGCCGACGGAGGCGGCGCCCGUGGUCGUCGUCAUCUUCCUGAAGUCUCCGUUGUGGUUGCUCCUUUCCCUUCGUCGUGCUCCAGAUGAAAAUCUAGAUCUUUGGAUCGGGUGGUGGCGGCGCUUCGGUGUUGUAUCCUUCCUGAAGGCACUGUCUUGGAGCUCACGGUUCAUCAACUCUCAGCUUCACCUCUUCGUGGUAUCUUCACCGUGAAAGGCUCCGGCGGCUCCGUAGUGUUGCUUACAGUCAUUGUUUAGUCUACUUCAAGUCGUUCGGUGUGUUGUUGUUGUAGGUCCUUGGCACCUAUGUAUCUGGCCUUGGGUGUGUGUUGGUGUGGCGUGUUGUCGUUUGUAUCGGCUCGGAUGUUGGUUGGUGCUUUAUAUAUAAAGCGGGGCGAAAGCAUUUUUCGGUAAAUUUUGCAUAGAUCAUAACCUAGCCACAUAAAGCCUAACCACCAGUUUUGAGCCUCACCCAACUCUUACAAACCCAUCCACAAAUUCCCAAACUUUUUAUACACCAAACCAUUUUGUGAAGGAAGUAUAUUUUUCACCCAUCCAUUGGACCUCAAAUUUGCCAUGGUGAUCAACCAUGACAAAACAACCUCACCACCCUAAUUUCCUCAAAGUCCACCACUCCAUUUGACCUACACAAAUUAUCAAAGAUUUUGACCAAAGAACAAGUUGUACAUGAAGUACCACCUACACUCAUCGAUUUGGCCUAAAACUUUGCAAACCAUUCUACCAAACUACACUACUCUCAAGACUAAGUCAAAGAGUGAAUCAAGUUGAUCAACACACAAAGCAUACAAGAUGUACGGAGAGAGAUCAAGUGAUCCCAUGGUAUGGUAAGCAUUGUCCAUUACGCUUUGUGUACUAACCCAUGGUCUACGUGAGAGUUCUAUGUGGGGUUAGGUAUGUUUCCAUAGGUUUGCAUCAAGAGGAAGAUCUCAUACAACCCAUGAAGGAUGACAUUAAGUGGUGAUUGAUGUCGCUUGAAGCUACGUCGGUAUUUCCCCAAAGAGGAAGGGAUGAUUGAUAUGUCUCCAACGUAUCUAUAAUUUAUGAAGUAUUCAUGCUAUUAUAUUAUCCUUCUAGGAUGUUUUAUAUGCAUUUAUAUGCUAUUUUAUAUGAUUUUUGGGACUAACCUAUUAACCUAGAGCCCAGUGCCAGUUUCUGUUUUUUCUUGUUUUUGAGUAUCGCAGAAAAGGAAAACCAAACGGAGUCCAAUUGACCUGAAACUUGACGGAGCUUAUUUUUGGACCAGAAGAAGGCCAUGGAGUAAAAGAGUUGGGCCAGAAGAGUCCCGGGCUGCCCACGAGGGUGGGAGGCGCGCCCACCCCCUGGGCGCGCCCCCCUACCUCGUGGACAGCCCGGAGACCCCCCUGACUUGUUCUCGAUGCCAAAACCUCUUUUAUAUACAAAACCUCCAGAAAAUAACCUAGAUCGGGAGUUCCGCCGCCGCAAGCCUCUGUAGCCACCAAAAACCAAUCGGGACCUUGUUCCGGCACCCUGCCGGAGGGGGGAAUCCCUCACCGGUGGCCAUCUUCAUCAUCCCGGCGCUCUCCAUGACGAGGAGGGAGUAAUCCACCCUCGGGGCUGAGGGUAUGUACCAGUAGCUAUGUGUUUGAUCUCUCUCUCGUGUUUUUUGCAUGUAUGUAUAUUUUUGGUAUCUCUCACAUACAAACGCGAAUUUUGAUGAAAAUUCGCACAAUAUAUUACACUUCUAUGUGUGCACGUAUAAAAGAUUUUGGAAUUUUUUUUAGUUGUAAAAAUCCAAUUCUCUGAACUUAAGAGAAACUGGCACAAUAUGCCCGUGCUCCAAUGUUACCUUUUGCACAGCAACACCGUAUAUAUAAUUCGACUUUAUGAAAGUCCACUGUGCAUAUUUUGGCGUGGUGGAUAGCUUAUGCGUACAAUACAAUCUGCGACUGUGAGAUCUCAGCAUGGAUUCUAAAUCAUGCAAUUUAUUUUUACUAUUGGCUUUCAUACGUGAUUAAAUAAAAUAUGAGGCGACUCCUCACGCGUAGGCUACCCAGCUCCUCCCCUGCUCUCAGCCACUUACAUGUGGGCCACCGCCACGCUGUCACUCCAUGCCGGCAUAGCAUACGUCUGGAUACGGAAGGAAGCACCGUAUUUGCACAACCAGACAAGUUCGAGCAUCAGUUCCAUGUAUUUUACAACUUUAGGCACCAAACUGACCGUACCAAACAAGUUGAGGCACCCCUAGUGUAUUUAACUCCAUGAAUAAUCCAGAGGUGAAUUCACAAAUUGCAGUACCAGCUUUUUAACUCUGUCUGCAAUCAACUCCUUAGCUUUAUCCUCUUUAACCUGUAGGAAAGCAGACCAUACAUCAGAUAGAAGAAAAUAUUUCAAUGAAUUACACCUGCAUGUCACAUACAAAAGACGCUACUUACUCCAGGGCGAAUGGCUGCCGUGCAGGUAUGGAACUGAAGUCAGGAAGAUGAAAAGAGAUAAGCAUAUAUGCACAGAAAAGAAUAUUAAGUUACAAGUGCAAAUUAUCUAUUAAUCAAAACAGCUAACGUACGUCCUCUUCCAGCAACGUCAUGGUGUACUCAUGGUCCAGCGCAGUUUGCAUUAAACCUUGUCGUACCGGAAACUUGUUCAUCUUACAAACGUCCUCCAUAGCCUUUCAGAAACUCUGUUGAACAUUAUUCAAGGGAAAGGUCGUGCAUUGCUAAACAUAUACAGUGUAUUCGAAACAAUGAACCAUCAUUGAGUAGUUGCUUAGUUGCGCAUAACACACUAACCGUUCCCUUUGUGACCCGCCGCCAAAUCUCAAAGUACAAACGAUCAUACUCCUUAAACCAAGUAUGAUAAUAGCAAAUGCGCUCUUUAUACUCCUAAAUCAAGUGAAUGCAACUGUCAGAUACAAUAUAGGCCAUUGUAAGCUACAUUAAAUUCAUGUGUGUGAAAGAUCCUACAUCAAAGCCAUUGUAAGCUAAAGUAGGAGUGAUCUUGGGAAAGCUAGUAGCAGCAAUCUUAAUUGCUUGAAAUGCUCCUCGGGAAGAUAUUUUACCCCACUGAACAACAACAAAGUUAUGAGGGUGUUACAAGAUAUACAAAUAAUUAACAGUGUCAUUCCAAGAAUUUUGUAAGGCCAUACUUACUUUGACGGAUGAGCGGCAAAUAUCGACAUAAUCUUCCAUCCACUGUUGCCAGAGAAAAAGAAAGUUGUAAGUCCAAAGAAGCUUGAAAGCAUUGAACAAAAUUAGACGAUUUCCUUAACAUGAUCUCUGAUACAUACCUUCAGUCGCUUGGAUAAUUCCUCGCAGUACUUGAGAUACUCUCGUUCAAUAUCAUAGCUAUGAAGGUAGCUAUGGUAGUCACUCCACAUGCUGUACUCGGUACCACCCUACAUUGAAAAGGACAGAGAGAGAAAUCGAUUGCUUAGCAAUUUUUAGAACGACAGGCAAUUACAUAACCUAAGCAAAGAUUUGAUUGAACUAAAGGCUUGAAGCUGCAAAGAAAAAAAAACAAUUUUUAACCAUAUAUGAUAAAAAGAAAAAUAAAUAAGUGGCUAGUAUUUAUCAGAAAAUACAAUUCAGUUGCUUACAAAACAAAAAAAAUUAUUAGACAGAGUCAAAGAGUCAAUCAGUGAGCCGUUUCAUACCGAAAAAGGCUUUCGCCCCGCUUUAUAGAUAAAGCAACGACCAGAAGUACAAAUCCGGAUACAACACGCAACCACCCACACAACACACACACCCAAGGCAAGAUAAAAGGGUGCCGAUGCACCGCAACACUACCCAAUCGACCACCAAGCACACUACCAAACACUUGGGGCCGACGAGGACCUUCCGAGACCUAGCCACCGAGAAGAAGUGAAGCGGGACAAUGGCGAAGCAUGGACUCCAAGGCGGUGCCUUCAAGAAGGGCACGACAUCGAAAGUCGCCACCGCCCGAUCUCGGAGAUCAAGUUUUCACCCGGAGCAAGAUGGAGAGAAGAGAACACCACGACGGAGCCUUCAUGAAGGAAACGACGCCCGCGGCCGCCGCCACCGUCGGCCGGAGAAGACUGGGCAAGUUAUGCGCUCUGAUGUUAACCCUCUACCAAACCACCAUGCUUCGCCAAACAUCGCCAGCCAUGCCACCCACGUGGCCAUGGCUGCCCGACCGCACCCAAGAUGCGCGCUCCGCCCACGAACGCCGCGUCUCCCACCGCCAGGGCCGCCGCCUAGCAUCCAAGCAACUCCGUGAACACCCAAAGGCCUUGGCUUUGGCCUGACUGGCAGCCGCCGCCUAUGGAGAUGCCAGCAACCGCCCUGCCUCGAACAUCGCCAGAACCCCAACAAAGAGCACAGAACCGAGGAAAGGGGGAGGGGAGCGGACGCAUCCGGACCGGUGCACCCCUGCACCGGCGACAGGUGGCCAUCGGGGCCUCCCAUCCCUCCUGAGAACUCCCCACCGGACACACCCCCGUGUCGCCUCACCAUGGCGCCCGCCGCAGCUCGACGCGAGGCCACCAACGGCAGCCCGCCCAACCAUCGACAAGGAGCGCGAAGCCAACCCGCACCCGCAGCCAAGAGCACUCACCGGGAGAGCCACCCCGCGCCGCUCGCCGUCGUCCAGGGGCCGGAACAGGGGAGCCCUGACUGGAGGUCGGCCAGCACGCACCACCAGCUCGCGCGCCCGCCCCGAGCCCGUCCGCCGCGCCACAUGCCACAGCAGACGUGCCCACCCUGCCGGAGAGGCGCCGCGCGCCGCCCCCGUCCGCCGGCCCACCAGAUCUGGCCGAGCCCAGACCAGGCCGCCACCGCAUCCGCGAGCAAGAGCCACCUCGUGAAGCCCACCGCGCCGCCACCAGGCCCUCACUACCCCGCCGCCAGGGCCCGCCGCCACGCCUCCGCGCCCCUCACCAGUGCGAAGCUCGGCCGGACGCCAUCGACCCGCGCCAACAACCUCCGAGCGGGAUGGAGAUGGAGCCCCGCCGCCACCGGCGCCGGCGGGCUUUGCCCGACAGCAAGGUCCGGCGGCGGCGAGGGAGGGAAGGGAGGAGGGAAGGCUCGAAGCCGGCGGCUAGGGUUUCCCCCCCGGUCGCCACACGGGAGCGACGCGGGGAGGGGGGGGAGCUCUGAGCCGUUUCAUAAAAGACGAAGGUAAUGAGCACUAAGGAAUAAGGUGAAAAGAUUUUAUCUGUGGGCACCAUAUUUGGUCCUGCUACAUUUCUCUACUUCUUUCUAAACAAGAAUGGCAGUUUUGGAGACUGCAUAAUGUGUGUGAUUGACAGACAAUUGCGCCAGUACAAUUGACCACAAUUAUAAAUUGAAGAUAACUCACAUAAUUUUUUAGGACUAGGCGUUGAUAGUCACUCAGGGAAGCACAUUCGCAGUAAGCAGGGUAGAAAAACCAAUCGAGUGUUCCGUCUUCUUCAAAGCUAAUGAAAAAUCCCUUCUCCUCAAGAAACUCCAUAUUACAGUCAUGCUCAGUUUUAUCCAUAAGGUUAUCAUCCUCUUCCGAUGUAGCGUCAUCUUCCUCAAGGAAAAGAAGUUGCUUCUCUGUCAAUGUAGCUAAAUAUUCCCUUUCUUCCUUAUCGUCCUCUUCUUCCUCGAGAAGGUUAUCACCAUGCGGCUCUUCCUUGGGCUGUGACAACUGUAGACAAUGAGAUGACAUAGAAGAUCAAAUUAAAUGCAAACAUGAGGUUAAAUAAUCCAGCAAAUAUAGGAUAGAAGAGAAAGUAAAUGGUCGCAAUAGAAUGCAUGGCAUGUGUGAAUUCUGGCAAUUAUACAGAUAGAACUGUGGAAUUUAACCUUGUAUUUGUAAUAUCUGAAGCGGCACAGUGCAUGGUCGACGUAUUGCUGAACGAGACCCUCUUCUGUCAGCCCAGCUUUGAGAUCAACCCACGGAGGCCCGGGAGCCAGCUGGUCAAAGUAAGCAAGGAACUCCUCAUCGCUGAUAUCCUCUCCCACGCCCGAUUGAUUCAGCUCUUGGAUCAAAAGUUUCGCUUCACGUAUAUCUUGUAUGUGCAACUCUGUUUUCUUGACAUCAACUACACACUCGUCGGGAUCAGAUUCGGGAAUGUCCUCUGCUGCAGGGUGCUCAUGCUCGUGCAGCAUCUCUCCGCUCGAGCCCGUGCCCGCGGCCGCCUUUUCGGGACGCACACCGACGGCGCCCUCCGCUCGUGCUCGAGCACCCCGACCCCUUUACGCGAUGCGGCGGCGGCAACCGUCGAAACCCUAACCUAAUCGGCCAUGGCCGGGAGAGUCCCGUCUCUGCGGUCCUGGCACCGUAAGGUAUGGAGUACCUUCCAAACUGAAAACGUGUCUUAAAAACAGCUAUAAAAGUCCGAAAAGAAGUAUAGAUACAGCUGUAUUUUUUUUAAAAUCAUAUCCCACUCUUUAUUUACGAUUCAACCAGUGUUACAUCACUUUUUUUAACUGACCAGUGUUAUAUCACUUAAUAAAAGAGGGAUGAGCUUGCUAGGAGGCUCAACAACAAAAACUAUUACAAGAUGGGCCCUUAGCUAAAUUUGCUAAUUCAUGAACAACAGAAUUAGCCUCUCUAGGACAGUGCACAAACGAGGUAUAAGGUUCCAUCUUCGAUGGUUUCAUGCGGCGGCGGCGGAAGAGAGAGGGUGGGAGAAAAGAGCGAGAAUUGAACGAAGAGCGGUGGGGAGUGGAAUAUUUUCGCGUGGAAACAGUGCGGGAUGCUACAAAAGCGCGGGCUCUGCCUUUGUUUUGGGUGGGUCAGGGGGCCGGAGAGCGACAUUUAGUGUGUUCGAACUCCCGCAACGCCCCUACAUUUGUCUCCGGUUUGUGGUAAAAAUCGCGUUCAGACCGCGCCGCCAACCGAUACAGGACCGCGUUGGAUGGCUUUCGUGGUUCGGGCGGUUGCGGGAGGUUUGCAGGUCAGCAUUGAAGAUGCCCUUAUCUGUAGCAAAAAUGACCAUUGGCAUCUUCUUUCGAAUGAAUCUAACAAUAUAUUUUUAUGAUAUACCACUUAUAUUGUCUAAAUCAAAUGUACGGUCAAAGUUUGACAAAAAUAUAAGGUUGCCUAAUAAAAUCACAUAGAGAGAGUGAUGCAUAAGAUCUAUUGUCUUUGCAUUGUGCAUGUACCGCCGUUAUCGCUGCAUUUCGUACUACCAAAAACAAACUAGAAAACUAUAUCUAAUUCAUCAAAAGCAUAAGAAAAUUUUCAUUGUGCCGCCGGAUAUCUAGAAGCAUGCACGAAUUGUUGGGGCUUUACUAAGUCCUCGACAAUUCCAAUCCAAAAUUUUCAUAGCAAGUAGUCCUUGAAAGAUGCUACUAAUGAUGGUAUUUUUGUUGAAUGUGAGCCCCCCUUACUUCCUAGAUCUCUUAUUAAACUCUUCGUCACUCUCACUUCUAGGGUCAAUUUUCUUCUCUACAACAAUAUCCUUGAUCACCAUGUUACCUACAUCCCCAACUGGCGGGGUAUAGGUGGGCUUCUUUAGUGUGUGUUUUUGACUCAAUGGUGUGCUUUCCUCAAGUGCCAACAUAUGAUUUGCAUUCCUCUUACCAUCUGUCAUGAUGAUGUUCGUUGAUAUUUAACUAGGCUCGGCGCGUUAUCUGCCAACUCACUGCCUUCCUUCUCCCGGGGCUUCUCAUUAUGUUGAGGUUGGUUCUUUUGUCAAAAUGCUCACCACAUCCCCUUCCGACGACCACCAUCAGUGCGCCUGCCUCUUUGUCUACCUGGAUGGUCGGCCCCUCUUCCUCUUCCACUGGAGAUGAUAUGACCAUGCCAUGUGCCUCGCAUAGCCUUAAGGUAGACACCCACAUGAGAUCUUUUUCCUCAAACUCCCCGGUACCACAUUCCUCAAAUUUGUGAACCAUGAUACCACAUGCCUUGUAGAAGCCUGGGUUUUUCUAUUGGAUUUUGUAGAUUUACCGUUGGCCUAGUCUUGAGAUCAUACAACUCUCCUAGCUUCCUAAAAUGAAUCCUCACAAAAAUUCUUUGGGAAUUUCCACCCAUGGUGUUCAGUUUCAACAUAGAUGAUCGAACCAAUUAUUCUAGCUAGGUUAGUUAAUAGGGCCUUUGAUCAUACACGUGGAGAGCUUGCAAUUUGGAUCCAAAAUAGUGAUAUGAUUCUGAUCAAUCAACUUCAGGGCCGAUAGACCAUCAUAUGGUUCGAUUAUCAUGCCAUCACUUUGAAAGAGCGAUGGACCUCCCUUUGUCACCUUCUUCCAAUACACUAAGCAGAAGCUCCAAAUCAUGGACAUAUUAUCCUCUAAAGUCCUAAAUCCGAUCUCCUUCACUGGACUCUGGGCCACAUUUAUAUGACCAUAACGUGCUUAACAUGGAAGGAUUGCUCAUUUGAACUCCAGCAAUGAGCAUACACUUGACUAGUUGACUUCUUACUUUGCCACAUCUACAACUUUUUACACAUGAGAUCAUAAAAGUCCUUUCUCAUUGGGGCCCAUACGUUUGCAGGAGAUCAUUGAUGCACGCCUCUCUAGACCCUCAUGACUCGUCACGGAAGAGAAUUGUGCCACCGCCAGCACCGGAGAAUGGAAUGCAACGAAAUUUAGAUCACACACUCCUAGUUAUACGCGCAAGCCAUCCCCUUAGUGUGUGCACACAUGAUAGAGUAGGAAUCAAAAACGUAUUAGAGAAACCAUGGGAAACCUCACGUUGAGAUAUAUGGCUAUCAGUGGCCACAAAACCUAUUCUUUAGAGACACGCAAAAACUAGUCCGUGAUAGUUUAUAGGCCACUCCUACGGAUUGCGAAACAAUUGUACCUUGGCCGACUCAGGAUUUGGUUAUUUCUGUGUUACAACAUCUAAAAGACCAACCGAUGUGAACUUGUGUUCAUGUUCGGUCGAAAAUCCAACUCGAGAGUUGCGGGCUAAGGCACUCUCGUCCGUGAAACGAGGAUUAAUAUUGUUGUAUCAAAUUGCCGGCAAAAUGCAUAUUGACGAUUUUAUCUGGGGUUUCAAUAUAAAUUUGACAUCAGGUUUUUAGGGUUAAAAUUUGACACCCCGAUUGAACGCAUAGCAAUUAAUUGUUGCGGCAUGACAAUUUUUCUGUUGAUUUUUUACGUUGCACGGCAAUGUUCACCGUAGAACAUGGCAAAUUAUUAUACACAAGCAUGACAAUUUUAUCUGUUUUCGCAUGGCAACCAUUUUUAGCGCUAAAAAUCUGAUGUCGGACUUUUAACAUUUCUGUCUAUUUGCGGUUUUGUUCCAUUGUUUUAACAAAAAAAUAAACAAAAAAAUUUAAAAUACAAAUUCUGAAAGAAUGGAAAAACUAAGGUUAUUGGGCUGUGGGCGCCCCGUAGGCGUGGACCUUUACUAUUUGACGCUCGGGGGUGCUCGGCAUUAACCGCCUGAGACCGCGUGCGCGUAAAUCUUAAGCAGCGCUCCGCUUACAUGCUAAGCUAAAAGAACACCUCACGCAGCGCAAUAUAAUCCCCUCCCAAAUCGGGAGCAGCCCGGAAAAACGCGAACCGACUCUAGCUGAAGCAGCUCUCAUCGCCAUCGAUCCUUCUCGAUCUGCUCCGAUGGCCCACGCCGGCGCCGCCAAGCCCGAUCCGGAGAAGAAGUCCUGGGCCGACGUCGAGGAGGAGGAGGAGGCCAAGGCCAAGGCGGAGGCGGAGGCCGAGCUCGCCGCCGCCGCCGCCUCCUCCUGCUCCUCCUCCUCCGCCCCCAUCGAGCCGGUGGUGGAGGCGCAGGCGAAGCAGAUCGAGGCGCUCUCGCUCUCCGUGCCGGACGACGACGGCGGCGCCGAGGGCCCGCCCCUGCUCGACGACUCCGACGACUCCCAAAUCCAAGCCGUACGCGCUCUCCUCCGCUCCCCGCCGCCGCCGCUGUCCGGUGGCCUCGAUGUCGGCCGGCUGAUUCGGUGCUUUGCUUCUCCAGGUGACCUCGGGCGGCACGGUGUACGAGUCGGCCACGACCUUCGAGGACGUGAAGCUCACCCCCGAGCUGCUCAAGGGGCUGCACGACGAGAUGGGGUUCAGCCGCCCCAGCAAGAUCCAGGCCAUCACGCUCCCCAUGAUCCUCACGCCGCCCUACAGGGACCUCGUCGCGCAGGCGCACAACGGCUCCGGCAAGACCACCUGCUUCGUCCUCGGCAUGCUCAGCCGCGUCGACCCCAACCGCAAGAUGCCCCAGGCCAUCUGCAUCUGCCCCACCAGGGAGCUCGCGCAGCAGGUCUCUUGACUUGAUCCUCUACACUCCCACGCUCUGAUAUGCUCUGCUCUCAUCUGGUUAUUGGAUAUAACAAACUGCAGUGGGGAGCUUGAUUCUGCUAGUUUUAUACCCUGUAUAAUAAUGUACUGAUUCUGAUUGGUUGGUCUGUGCAGAAUAAAUCUGUGCUCAUGAGGAUGGGCAAGUUUACCGGCAUUACCUGUGCCUGUGCAACCCCGCCGGCUCAGAAAGAUUAUAUGCCCAUCAGCAAAAUGGCUCCGGUGACCGAUCAGGUGGUGAUUGGCACUUCUGGGACGCUCACCAAGUGGAUUACCCAUAAGAAGCUUGCCACUAGGGAGAUCAAGAUUCUUGUGUUCGACGAGGCAGACCAUAUGCUUGCCGAGGUACAAUUUAGUUAUCUUGUCAUCGAUCUCUUUGUGCCGUUGAUACACCCAGUGUUUUCCGGACUACUUACUGUUAGUUUACACGCAUGCUAACAGUGAAGCGAGAAGGAUAACAAGGUUCAUACUCAUUAUAGGAGUUAUUUCUCAGCUGCAAAUGAUAAUGGCAUUGACAGUAAUAUUCAUUCGAGUAUAGAACAGAUGGUUCUUAGCAGCAAACGAUGAGGGUAUUUUGAGAUCAUGUCUCAUAGACCUUUCCCUUUAUAGCCGUCAGAUGUACGUCGGUAACUAUCCUCAAGAAGCAAAGCAGUGGCGCUUAUUUGCUAGGCUUGCGACUAACCUGCUUCCUCUUGGGUAGGUAACUUUCUUGUGGCUUAACUGAAAUCAAAUGACCAUCAGCCUAGUAUUGAGUCAAUGAAUCUGAGUAUGAAAGAAUGCAGCCAGUGAAGUUUUUACUCCUGAUAUCCUAGUGGCAUUAAGGGGUGUCAUCAUGGUGCAGUUGUGUUAUUUUAGGUGUGAUGGCCGAAAGCUCUUGGUAUCUGUUUGGUCUGAGUGGAUAAAAAUAACAGAAAAAAAGGCAUUUGUUUUCCAAGGACAUAAAUUAGUAUGGAGUCCCAACAGUAGAAAUAUUCUUAUAACUAGAACCAAAAUUUGGUGCGCUCAAAAUUCCUUACCUUGUCUGCUGAUGAACUUCUGUCCACGACGUAGCGGGCUCAUGUAAACUAGUUGCUUUUAUGAUUUAAUGAGUACGGUUUCUUAUCCUGUUGAAUGCUUCUUGCAGGAGGGCUUUAAGACUGAUUCUUUAAGGAUCAUGAAGGAUAUACAAAAUAGUGCUGGCGGUUGCCAGGUAACUUUUUUAGUAAUUGACUACUUUUGACUGUGACAGUAGAAUCACACACAACAGCUUGCACCUUGGUUACAUGUCAAAAUCAGAUGCGAGUAUAUUUUGAAUGUUGGGACUUGGUAGGUUAUCAAGGGAGAUAACCUAUUCCUAUGCUUUGUAUGUGCUCAUGUGCUGCUUCUUGAACUUCUUAUCAAUUGCUAAUGGUUCCUAUGCUCUGUAUGUGCUCAUGUGCUGCUUCUUGAAUUUCUUAUCAAUUGCUAAUGGUAGGUAGAGGCUUUGGAAAAGGGUAAUUUUCUUUAUGCAGUGGGUUGUAUCCAAUUUCCAAGUUUUCUGGAUUGUGGUAUUCAUUUUCUUUAUUUUUGGAAGACUGCAUAUUUCAUGUAUGGGGCAUCUUUGAAGAUGAUAGUUUUAGGACUAGAAAGAACCCUAUACUGUGGUGUGUUCUAUGUAAUUGGUUAAUUGCACAUUCAGGCAUUCCUAUUAUCGUAAUCUUAAAGCCAAUCUGCUGGUGUUAUUGCCUUAGUUUUUCCAAGUUUUUUCAUUGAUGGCGUUGAUAUACUUUCAGUCCUCAAAUAGCCUUGUCCAUGUGGUGGAUAAUCUUUUGUAAUGCUUGUACCUGUCGGUGUAAUCCCAUGGCUGUGCCAUUCAACUAGCCUUGGCUAUAUAAUUGCUAAAUUCUUGGUUAGAUGUGAUUGUUUCUGUUUCCAUAUGGUUCCUUUUUUUACUUAUUUUAAUUCUAUUUAUGCCAGGUGCUUCUCUUCUCUGCGACCUUCAAUGAGAAAGUGAAGGAGUUUGUUACAAAGGCCAUUAAGGACGGAAACCAAAUAUUUGUGAAGAAGGAAGAUCUUACUUUGGAAAAAGUAAAGCAAUAUAAAGUCCGAGUCCCUGAUGAGGCGGCCAAAAUAGAGGUUAUAAGGGACAAGAUCUUUGAGUUUGGGCAAAAGGUUGGACAGGUUAUCAUCUUUGUGAGAACAAGAAAUAGUACUAAGAAUGUACAUAAUGCUUUGACAAAAGAGGACUAUGUGUGCUCCUCAAUUCAAGGAUCCCUUGACCAAGCAGAGAGGGAAAAAGUAAUUCAGGAAUUCAAAGAUGGGUACACCAAGGUUCUUAUAUCAACUGAUGUUCUUGCUCGAGGUUUUGACCAAGCACAGGUACUAUGCGCGCCGUGCUAUUUUGACACACCAGUUAAAAUUUUCCUUCUAACAUUCUUCCUUUGAAAGGUUAACCUGGUCAUCAACUACGACAUGCCAAUCAAGUAUAAUACGAGAGAUGAACCUGAUUAUGAGGUGUACCUGCACAGAAUUGGCAGAGCUGGGCGCUUUGGCCGAAAAGGUAAAUUUAUGUCUUAUCAGUCUAUUAUGUACAUACACCACUGUAGCAUAUUGGUCAACACCGUGCCAGACAGUCGCGGUGUUAAUAGGAAUUAAAUGGCUUGGGAUAAUGACAGAUUGAACCUGUUAACCAUCGAUAAGCAAACACGCUACAUUUAGUCAAUCGUAAUGCCUGUUUGUUCUAGCCUAAGGAUGAACUUGUCAGCAGAACCAGUCUUCUGCGAGUAGGAUUUGGCAAUAGGAUUUUUAGCUUCCUAUAUGAUAGAACUGAUGUGACCAUUGUUUGUUGAUUAUAGAUGUCACGUUUGUUUGCUCAUUUUCAUUUUUUUUCUUCAGAGGUUGUGAUUUCCUAUUUCUGGAGAUUUUCAAUUGAUUUUCUUGGAUAGUUUUCAUGAUUUAUCAGUUGGACACAUAAUAAGUUGUGUUAUAUACCAGUUUAUGAGUUAAUCGCUGUUGAGUAGAGUUGCUUAUCUUGUGGCCUAACUGAAAUUUUGGUGGUGACAGGAGCUGUGUUCAACCUGCUAUGUGGUCAAACUGAUGAAGUUGUGAUGACAAAGAUCGAGGACUACUUCCAGCACAAAGUGCCUGAGGUCCCCAACUGGAAAAGCGAGGACAAUUUUGAGACUGCUCUUAAGGAUGCGGGUUUACUUGAGUAAACUGUUUACUGGCAGAAAUAGGUGGCGGCAAAUUGCGCGCUUAUUUGAUUAUGUUGUCACCAGCACUUGGGUUCUUUCUUUUGUACCAGAUGCUUGUGUCUGGAGUUGUGUGGAUUAUGUUGAGCUGAUGCGAUGAAUUCUAUGAGGGAGAGUCCAUUUUUAUUGCUCGUUCGUUUGAGGUUUUCAAGUCCUCUUCACACACGCCCAUGUAAUUUCGUUUGAGAAUUCAUUUGUAUGUUAUACUUGUACUACUACGCAUGUGUACAGAUUGAUCGCAGUGGGCAGUUACAAGAUUCAUCCCCAUGUGUAAGAAUGUACAUGAUUGAUUUCCUCUCUAACUCUGUUGGCACGCAAGAAAAAGGAAGUGUUACAAGUUGUCGUGCUCGAUGACCUGAGCGCCCCUCCACUCCUUGCCGGGGCCGACGACGACGGGCACGAGGAUGGACGCCGGCCCGGUGCAGAGGAAGUAGUCGUUGCCGAACUUCUCGUACAAUCCUCCCGGGCUGCUCAGGUACAUGUCCUCGAACCCCAUCCUCACCAGCCUGAACCCCAGCCCGCUAGACUGUCCAAGCAAAUCACAAGCCAUAUAUCAUCAGUGAGCAAUGCGAAUGGAUGAUGCAUCCCAAGCCAAGAGACGAACGAACCUGGUCGAUGGUGGUGAACUUGGACGGCGCGGUGCUGUAGAUGCGCUUCUUCCUCUCCUCGGGCGGCGCCGCGUACACCCUGCUCACCUUCUUCUUGAGGAUGGUGUAGAGGUUCUCCUCCACGGUCCAGGCGCCCUGCCGGGGCUCCUCCCCGCCGCCGCCGAACCACCCGGACUCCUCCCGCUUCAUGGCCUCGGCGGGGGUGAGCAGCGCGAACCCGGACGCCGGCGGCGGGUGGGAGCAGUAGGGGCAGCCGCGGAGCCCCUCCACGGCCGUGCCCCGCCGCUUGUCGAACUUGAUGUGGCUCAGCACGGCGCCCGUCAGCUCCACCGGCUUGGCCCCGUUGUUCUUGACGAUCACCGCCGUCGCCAUGCUCAGCGGGUACAGCGUCACCACGUACGACACCUCCAGCUUGGCCCCCUUGGCGCUGCACCCGAGCUCCACCUGCACGGCGUCGUAUGAGUCCGAGUCCACGUCCGCCACGGACCACUCGGACGCGCCGAGGAGUGACGCGCCGCCGGACGACGAGGAGGAGGCCUCGUUGAGCACGAGCCCGACGCCGCCCUUGACCGCGCCGGCGCCGGCCACGGUGUGCAGCAGCUCCCGGCAGCCGUCCCCGCCCUCCCAGGACACCUUGGGCCGGUACGACGUGACCAGCCCGUCGUUGAGCCGCAGCUGCAGCGAGCUGCCGUUGCGCACGCUCAGCUCCGCCGUGGGCGCGCCCGUGGCGUCCGUCCCGAACCGGAGGCCCUUCCGGCCGAAGGUCUCCUCCAGCUGCGACGUCUGCGUAGCGGCGGGCACCGUCGACGCGACGCCCGAGGCUGCCCUCGCGGCCACGGUGGCCGGCCUGGGGGAGGCCGGGAGGUGGAGCGGGAGGAAGGAGGAGGCGGCCAUCAUCGGAGCUAGCGCUGGAGUGAGUGAUAGCUAGCGGAGAAGGGGAAGGUGCUGGCCUUCCCCUUGAGAGUCGAGGCCGAUUGGGUGUCACUGACUGCAGCCUCAUAUCCACCGGCUUGAGGAUAGGUGGUUUCGCGCUCGCUCCUUGUCCGUGUCCUCUCCUUGCUCUGCUGCGACUGCGAGCCUGCCUAGCAACAGCUUGAUACCGGAAUGAGCAUGCAGAAAAGAAAAUGAUCUUUGUUUUCGCAAUUCAGAAACUUCCAAAAUAGAUGACCCAACUUUGUACUAACUUUAAUAUAAAAUUGGGUCAUCUAUUUUGGAACCGAGAGAGUAGUAUGUUUCAAUUUUUAUUCAGAGGAACUCUGAGGCCGAUGCUAAAUUCAUGAAUGUUCGCGUUGAUAGGAAUUUACUUGUAGGAACGGAUCUCAAAUGGGAGUUCUACAAGUAUAUGUACACUUUCGCAACAACAACGACAAAAGACAAGUAUAUGUAAAGUGAUGGACUGUAUACAAUAUCAUGAUGUUGUAGCUAUGACUACAUUAAGGCAUUAAAACCGAACCGUACGUACAAGUCAGGAUGGCCGAGUGGUCUAAGGCGCCAGACUCAAGUUCUGGUCCUCUAACGAGGGCGUGGGUUCAAACCCCACUUCUGACAAUAAUUUUUGCUUUUUUCCUUGCUUAAUUUCCUGACAAUAAUUUAUCUUUUGCGAGAUUCUUCAGGCUAUCCUACGGCUGGCAGAAGAGAAGAAACUGCUGACAGACAAUACCUACUUUGGCAAUGGUGGACUGAACGUAAUCGGGGCAACCACGGUGAGAAACGGCUGGAAACUGACGCAUUCCAAUACUGUCCGGAGCCAUGUUCAGCGAAUGGUCUGACUGACGCCCUCCAUGCGUAGGCCUUGGCCCUCUCCCGUGGCUGAUCAGCUUGGAGUUGGCCGGGCGCUUUUCCUUUUUGCGGGUGAUCUCUUCCGUGGCAUCAAGUUUAAAUCCAGUACCAAGUUCAUUCAGACUGAGAUUGUACAUGUUGGACGUAGCUGUAACAAGCCAACGCAUGUGCUGGCCGCCAUGGGUCCAGUAUCAGCUGAUGGUGAAGCGUGCUUGUGGGUUGAUAGUUUCCCUGUCGAUGUAACCCGUGUUGUAACCAGCAUUUUUGCCGUGCCCUAGAUGGAAUACGAGUGUUUCCAUUUCAACAACAAAAAAAAAAUCUCGUUCGCUCCUUUUCAACUUCUCAUUUAGCUUCAAAAUUUACCCUAAAGUAGCCCCGCCAGCAAUUUAUCUGAACAUCCCUCUUCCAUGCAUUCUACUUCCUCCGUCCCAAAAUGUAAGAUGUUUUUGCUAGGAGGGAGUAGAUGUUACCCCACCGCACCGCGCGGAGCCUGAUUGGCAAACAAGUGCAGAUAAAAUUUUACCGUUGAUUCAACCACGAAUCCCUCUCAUCCAGGAAAAAAACUAUCAGGGAGGCGACCAACUCCUCGUGCGCUCUGCCGGCGAGGUCGUGGGUUCUCUUGCCCCAAUCACCGCUCCGACGAUGGAUGGGUGAGGGAACCCCGGCUCUCUGCCUCCGUUGUAGGUAGGGUUAGGUUUAGUGUGUUCCACGAAGGUGCAUGGAUGACGGUGAUGCCGGCAUUUGGAAUAAAAUUUCCCAAGCUCAAUCCCAUCUCGACGACAUCCUCGGUGGUGAAAUCGAGGGAUCUGCGGGAACCUUAUUCCAUCGUUUCCUUGGUGCGAUGGAUCUAAUGGUGUUUGUUGUGUGCAUGUCAGAUCUCACCUCAUGCGGUGUCCUCUUUGUUUGGGGGAAGGUAAAGGUCAGAGUACUUGGUGGGACGUUGGCGGUAGCGAUAUUCACGGAAUGUGUGGACAUCUCUACCUUGAUUGGGAAGGUCAAGUUUAAAUAUUAUUUUCGAUCAGCAAAUCAAGUGGCGCAUGUGCUAGCUAGGUUUAGUUAUUCCAAUAAAGUUUCUUCUAGUUGGACCGAUGAGCCUCCAGAUUAUCUGGUGAGCAAGCUCGUAGAUGAUGUAUCUCUACUGAUUAAUCAAUAAAGCUAGUCAUGAUGGUCUUCUCUCAAAAGAAAAAAGAACAAGGUUCGAGGCUCGUGGGUGGCGGUUCCGGUGUUUUGUCUCGACGACAUCAACGGCAUGCAACGGACCUGCAUUUCGAGUAGCAAGGGAUGAUCCCCAGUUGACGGGCCAGAACGAAAAUGGACUUGCCGACGACAAUCCUCUUCUUCGACUCACAAAGCCCUCAUGGGCGGUGUUGCUUCUUUGUCUUCGAAGGCCGCAAGUGGCGAGGAUGGUCUUUGUAGAAAUCUGCUUCAAUGGAGUUUUCUAGCAAAUAUUUCUGGACAUGCGUCCUCUCUCUUUUUCUCCCGUGGUUUUCAUGAUUCCGUGUUGUAAUUUGACGUAUGUUUAAUGGUGUGCGAAAUUUCUAAGAAAAAAAACGAGAGGCCACCUUAACGAAUCCAUAUUUGCCUGCCAACGAUCCGGCCGGCCUCCAAAUAAGUUCCAACUUUCCAAGUAACAAAUUCAUGAAGGGAUCACCAGAGCAGAGCAGCAUGAUCGUGUCUACUUGUGCGCCAAUUGCCUUGGCGAUGGACACGUACUUGUCCUUCCCCGCACGGCCUCGUCCGCGACGUACUCCCCCGCCCACCGGCACAGCGCCGGGUGCUCGUCCUCGGCGAGCAGCGUCACCCCGGCCAUCUCCUCGAACACCCCCAGCCAGUGCGCGAGCCCGCUGGCGGCGACGUCGAGGAAGCCGACGCGGUCGCCGCCGAAGAACCUCCUCCCGCCGAGCUUCGUGCAUUUUGUGCUGGUGUACAUAUUUGCCACAAACUUCCUCGUAGCUUCGUAUUGGCGAUACGUUCUAUAGUAUACGUGCUAUGUUCUCCCGCCGCUGAAAGUUACCUACCGUCAGUCUUAAUCCGGCAAGCUCUAAACAAAUAACAAACCAUUGUUAGCUAGCUACUAGUACUAUGUGUCUAGUGAUGUAUAACUUUCGUUACUUCAUGUUUUGGAUGCAAUGGGUAGCCUCUCCAACCAAGCUUCAGAUUUUCGAAGAGGUCAAAACAAGAGGGAAGGAAGGUAUAUACCCCUACACUUGUUACAACCAUGUAAAACAAGGUGCAUGUUAGUCAAGGAAUUGAAACAAAGAUCCCAAUUUCCCUGGAAAACCAAAAGCCUGAACCAUGGAGUAGUGUUGACAAGUAGUGACACCACCAUGACACAGCAGCUAGCGAUCGUUCCAAAUUCUUUUUAAGCUGAGCUUGACACCUCUCUAGGAUACAAACCAGUGACCCACUGACAAGGACAUUUAUUCACAUACCACUCACCAAGCAACCAAAAACAGGCAUCGAAAUUCUGAAGCAUGUCAAGUGGACAAGCAGUGAGCAACACAGCACUCAACCAAGCACACCACCGCUUUUCUUCCCCAAACGGAACCACAAGCAAAGCACAGAUGCAACGGCCUCCAAAAGAAGCCACACCUUUGCCAAACUUGCCUUUGCCCGGUCAGCUUCGCACCAUCUAUCAUCAUCCAUCUAGUGGAGUGGAGCACCCAAAAACGGAGGCCUCCGCAUCAGCAGAUACGAAACCAAAGCAAGAUUUCUGUUGUAAUAUAAUCUUAAUAAGACGCGAAAACAGCUCCAAUCUAGAACCCACUUUCAGAUCCACUCACCCAACACUCGACACAAACACAUAGUACUUACUCAAACACCACCAAAUACCGACCGAAAACAGACGCGACACAACCGCACCAUGCCACCGGGUACGACACUACCUUUGUCUUGCCACAGGUUCUCUUUUCUCUUUUUCUGGCGAUUCCGAUGAUACCACUAUAGGAGGAGUCUUUAGAGCUAAGCAAACUGAAAUAGGGAUGACGAUAAUACGACGACGACAGAAGAAGAAAAAGGAGAGAGCUAGGGAAACCUAACUAUCCGACCCGCUUUCCAGCA